AAGAAAGAAAACUUUUGAUGACUCCUUUAUAAAUAUAGGCAUUUGACAAUGAUAGUCAUAUUUUUAUAAAUAACAAUUACCAUAUUUGAAAUAAAAAGUUAACCAUAAUAUAAAAUAAUUUAAUAUAUUUGACUAAUCACAUCACAUGACAUGACAUGGAGUUAAAAACUAAUAUAUAUUGCUUAUUUCUCCAUCUACAAAGGGGCCUAUGAUUUUUACCUUCGGUAAUCUUACCGCAACCUCUAUCUCAGAACUCGAGUGUGAUUAGCAAGUGGUUUCUGUUUCAUUGAAUCAUUUGGCUUACUUAAGUCGUCAGAUCAUUUAUUUUGUCUUUCCAUGCCCUCUCGACUGUUUUUCUUGCCUUGAAAGCAUAAAAAGAUCAAACUUUUAACCAACUUGCAAAAAGAACAAAACCUCCCAUCAUUUUGUGUCAUUAUCUUAAACCAAAAUCAUAGUUUCUUGGGUACAUUUCAGGGACAACAGUCUCUUUAAAUUCCACAAAUAUUGCAUCUAUCAAUCCAAAGUGAAAAACUUCCACUCCAAAAAACUGUAGCUAUGGCUAACAAUUUCCUAUAUUUUUGCCUCUUCUGGAGCUUAGUUGUAUUAACUCAUUCAGCUCCUGAGGAGGCUCUGGUCACUCAACUCCCUGGCUUUUCUGGCACUUUUCCUUCAAAUCACUACUCUGGGUAUUCACUGAUUUCAACAUUUUCGUUAUUAAUUUCUAUCUUUUUCUUGUUUCCUAUAAUUUGGGCACCAUAAAAGUAUUGGUCAAACUCUUUUUUUUUUUUGUUCUUGAAGGUAUGUGAAUGUCGAUCAAAAUCAUGGCAAGAACAUGUUUUACUAUUUUGUGGAAUCUGAAAGGAAUCCGUCAGAGGAUCCGCUGGUUCUUUGGCUCAAUGGUGGACCUGGAUGUUCCAGCUUUGACGGCUUUGUUUACGAGCACGGUAUAUAGAUAUAUAGUAAUAUACUGUAGAGCGUAGACCAUAAGUCAAUGCAAAUACUUCAUCUGUUUCAUCAGAUAUUACAACAUUUCAGAUUUACCUUAGGGUUUACAAUAAUCUGCUUAUUUGGGUUUCUAGACUUUAAAAUUAUUUACUUGAACAAUGAGUGGUGGAAAGGUAAAAGUUCUGCAAUUUAUUUACUGGAGUAUUAGGGAUCCCCUAUAGUAACUCAGUUGUUCCUGUUUUGUCAAAUUUAUAAUAAUUGCUUUGAAUUAACAGGGCCUUUCAAUUUUGAAGCAGCAAAGGCAAAUGAGAGUUUGCCCCAACUACAUCUCAAUCCCUAUAGUUGGUCCAAGGUUGUAAUUUUUCACUUUUGUUUUAUAGGACAAAAGGGAGAUGUUUGAUUUGUUUAUGUUCGUUUCCCCAUUGUGGUAAAGAUAUCAUAUUCACAGUUUUCUUUUUCUUUUAGGUCUCUAACAUUAUAUAUUUAGAUUCUCCAGUCGGUGUUGGGUUUUCGUAUUCGAAGAACAAAAGUGAUUAUGAGACUGGUGAUGUACAGACUGCCAUUGACACCCAUGCAUUUUUGCUCAAGGUUAUACAUCAAAUUUAUUCAUUAUUAUUGCUCAAGUUCUUUAUUAACUAAGAUACUUAUGCUUUAAGUAUCUGUUGUGUAUCAGUGGUUUGAACUAUACUCUGAGUUCCUUCCAAACCCCUUUUUUAUUGCCGGAGAGUCAUAUGCUGGUGUAUAUGUGCCUACUCUAUCUUCUGAAGUCGUGAAAGGUACGUACAUAUAUAUAUUUAUAUACGUCCUCUUAGUUUAGACUUUAAUAAGUUGAAAGGAUAAAUCUAAAGUGCAGAUAUGAAUCGUUUACAGGAAUUGUUGCUCAGAAAAAGCCUAUUCCUAAUUUCAAGGUACAAAUUUUUCUGGAAACUAUUUUGAUUGAAGUUUAAGCUUUUAAGCACAUGCAUUCUAGCUGUAACUUGAAUACAUCAUGGACAGGGAUAUUUGGUGGGAAAUGGAGUUGCAGAUGAUGAAUUUGAUGGCAACGCUCUUGUUCCGUUUGCCCAUGGGAUGGGCCUGAUCUCAGAUGAACUAUAUGAGGUGUGUGGAGCAGUCUCUGAUUUCCAUAUAUCUUAUUCUAGUUCCAGUUUUUUUUUUCCUUCAUAACAUUAUAUUUUCCUUUCAAUGACCCCUCAUUGAAGGUGCCAGUACUAGGUGUAAUUACUUGGUCUGAAAAUUUGCUAAACUGAAAGUAUUUGAACUUCCUGUUCUACUUUUGACCUGAAUCUACAUUUCCAGAUAGUGGCUUUUCUUAGUUUCUGGCAUGUUAUCCUUUUUCCGGUCCAUGGCCCGAUAUGCUAUAUACUUUUUACCUCUUUAAACUAGUAGAUUUAAGUUUGGUACUAGUAGCCAAUGCUUGCUACAAAUGCAUGAUGUGAUUAAGCAACUGUAGGAACCUAAGUUUUUCAUUUUUUAGCAACUGUAGGAACCUAAGUUUUUCAUUUUUUUCUUUAAAGUUUCCAGAUUUGUUAUUGGAAGCUGAUAUAUUCUAACAUGUUAUAAGUGCUAGGUUGAAAAAAAGGCCAUGGUUCUUUUUCCCCAAAAACAUAGUUCUGAUAGUUCAAUCUUAUUACAUAUUUUCAGGAGGUUAACAGUGAGUGCAAGGGUAAUUUCUACAUUCCACUCAGUGAAACUUGUGAAAGCAAACUGGAAAAGGUUGAGAAGGUAAUUGCGCUUUAGUUGCUUAUUUACAUUGAUUAAAGGGAAAGUCCAGAUAGUCAGAACUUGCAUUCUCUUUGGUUUGCUUCUAAACUUUUGACUAAUUGCAGAACAUAAAGGAUUUAAACAUAUACGACAUCCUGGAACCUUGUUACCAUGCACCAGAAACGCUUGAGAAUACAGAUAUUAAGAUUAGACUACCUUCAAGCUUCCAGAAGCUCGGUGAGACCAACAGGCCUCUUGCUGUAAGGACAAGGAUGUUCGGUCGUGCCUGGCCGCUUAGAGCUCCUGUGAGAGAUGGAAUUGUUCCAACAUGGCCACAACUUCUUGAUGCCGAAAGUGUUCCAUGUACCGUAAGUUCUAACUUAUUGUAUGUGAUGAUUGCUUGUUUGUAUCUUGUUUCACAUCUAUUUUGUAGCUUUGCUCUUUUUCUGAGGUCAAUAACCAUCAGUUUAUAGUUUCGACUUUCAUCUGCUUUUUUCUGUCAAGUUCUUAGCUCAGCUAUUCCUUUCGUGCAUACAACUCGUGUAACUGAUUUGUUCUUAUUUAUUAUUCAUCUCAAACCAUCUUGUUGGAAUUAUAUUGAUAAAAUUACUUACUCAAAACUUUAUAUUAAUUGUGUAGGAUGAUACAGUAGCAACACAAUGGCUGAAUAAUCCAGCAGUUAGGAAGGCAAUUCAUGCUGAAGAGGUAAGCAUUCUCGAAGUCAUUACUCCAUUUUUUAAAAUAAUAUUAAUUUUAUGAUCCUUUGGCACCAUAGGAGACUGCAAUCGGCAAAUGGGAGUUAUGCACGGACAAGAUCUUGUAUGAUCACGAUGCUGGAAGCAUGAUCAUGUAUCACAAGAAUCUUACUUCUGGUGGGUAUCGAGCACUCAUAUACAGGUAAAUCUCCUUUUAAUGUUGUAUAAUAUUACAAUUUCUUUCAGAAUUUUUUUUCUCAUCAUGGACCCGAAAAGAAUUUAAGAAAGGACUUAAUCUUUUUCCUAAAUGAAAAAAAGAUUACCUAAAAGAAUGAUUCAUUGGUCUUGGUAUCUCGAGUUUGUAACUUGUUAUGGAUUUGAGCUAAUCGUCCUGGAUAUGCUAAGCCAGUGUUAAAUUUAUUUAUCUGAAGCUGCACUGAUCGAUUGAAUUUCAUGAUGUUUAAUAAUUAAAUCCGGGUUUGAAGUCAAAAUGAGUGCUCGACCAGGUAAUGUUUUCUGAUAAGUAUAUGUAUGUAACUUUUGUGGCAGUGGGGAUCAUGAUAUGUGUGUUCCAUUCACUGGGAGCCAAGCCUGGACGAGAUCCAUUGGAUACGAGAUAGUAGAUGAAUGGAGGCCAUGGAUGUCCAAUGGACAAGUUGCUGGGUAAUUUUCAGUCCUUUCUUUCACUUAACGUAUGGAAAAAGUAUUUUACAAACCGAUAACCAGAACCGAAUCUCAUGCUGAAUCUGUCACUGCCUAGAUUUCUUGUUUUCUUUUCCGAACUAAUGCUCAUAAUGCUUUACUUUACUUCAUAAUUGACUUUGUAUAUAUUUUGGAAUGCAUUUGCAGGUAUUUACAAGGUUAUGCGAACAACCUGACCUUUUUAACCAUAAAGGUAUUGACCGCAUUGCGGACUUUCUGAUAUCGAACAAUCUGUUUGUAAAUGGUCUAAAUUGUAUAAUUCAUUUUUUUUUUGUAUAAAUCCAGGGAGCAGGACAUACGGUUCCAGAAUACAAACCUCAAGAGGCAUUCGAUUUUUAUAGCAGAUUCCUUGCAGGGAAAGCUAUAUGAUACUUGUUUUAGUUCCUCCUAACAGUAUGUUGAUGAUGGCUUAUCCAAGGAAUUAAUUUAAGGGAAGAACAAAUUCCUGGAUUGCUUGUAUCUCUAUGAAUGAGUUAGUAAGAUUUUAAUGUUAAUUUCACUUUUAUUUAAAAUAAAUAAAUAAUUUGAAUGUUAUUUUCUUUGGUCAUAUGAUAUUAUUUUACGUAAUAUAUUUUCUUGCCACCGUCAAAACGUCAUCUGCUUCUGUAUAAGCAUCCUUCCCUGCCACGGGCAGACAAAAAAUUCUUUUAAGUUCUAAACAAUCCUUAUAUUAUAUCUCUUAUUGUAUUUUGAUAUUUUUUUUUAUCGGGGAUUAAAUUUAUUAUUAUGCUUUACACAUAAAACAUUAAAAUAAGUAUUUAAUACUAUAAUUUUAAUAGAUGAAUUAUUUUAUUCUAAUACGAAAUUAAUUUAUCUAUUUUUAAUAAAAAAUUAAAAUGUACAAUGUCUAUUAUAAUAUUUUUACCCUAGCAAGCCAUGUUGAUAAUUUGAGGGAAUAAUAAGACGAAAUUGAUAUAUCGUUUUUGCUCAUUUUCUUUUGAAAAGUUAAAUUAAAAAAAAAGUAAAGAUAUUAAUAUUUUUAGAAAAAUUAUUUGAUACAUCAGUGAUAGUUUUUAAAUUUCACAAAUAGAGUUGAGUAUAAUAAAAUAUUAAAUAAUUAAAUAAUUUAAAAAAAAAGACAUCUAGCAAUUUUCUAAAAUUACUUGUUGAAUAAAAAAAGUAUACUAUCGAUAUACUAAAUACUAACCCAUAUGUGUAAAAUUUGGCCCAUGAUCUUGACGUGUAGUUUCACUUCGAUACAUGUAUUAACGUACUAAAAAAUAUGUAUUAUAUUUUUUUAAUUAUCAAAGUAGACCAUAAAAAAAGUAUAAUAUUAAAAUAAACCUAGAUAUUAAAUUUAUAGGUUAAAAAUUAUAUUAACCUUUUAAUAAUAUUGCUUAAAAAUUAUUAAAUAUUUUUUCAAAUUUCAAUUAAGUUAGUUGAUUGAAAUUUAAUUCACAUCAUUGUAUUGUAACAAUUAAAACAACACGUGCUUAAAUGCGUUUUAUUCUGAUUUAGGCGUUGGAGAGGAGUUCAAUGGAAACACUCACUACUAGUGUCACGUGACUCUAGUAGCUAAGCUUUAACCCGUUCCGAUAUAUGGGCUGUGUUGCCGGUUACCCGAUCCAACGGAAAAUUUAUUUGACAACACCGAAGCUAAAACCACUUCAAAACCCCAGCGGAUCAAAGGAAAAGACUGAGAAUGGUGGCUUUAAUAAGGAGACGUUUUCUUGGCACCAAAAUAUCCCUAAACAGCCAUCGGCAUAAGCUCCAAUGGAGCGUAAAGCAGGUUACCAAAUCCAACUUCAGUGACUCACUCCAGGAGUUCAAGUCCCACCUCUCCGCUUCCGACUUCGUCGCGGUUUCGCUCCAGAACACCGGUUCUUUCUCCGCUCCUUGGAACCGAGUCUCCUCCUUCGACUCGCCGGAAACCGCUUACCUCAAGGUCCGUCGCGCCGCCGAACGCUUCCAGCUCCUCCAGUUCGCCAUCUGCCCCUUUACGAUAUCUGGCUCCAAAGUCACUGCCCACCCGUCAGUUCUCAACCUUUUAUUUAUAUAAUGAUUCAUUUUAUCUUUGAAAAAAAAAUAUUCAGUUUUAGGAUGUAAAUUUCUUUUAAAAUUUGAAAAACAUUCGGUUAAUUUGAAAUUUUUUCAGGAUUAUCAUUUGUAAGUUAAAGGUAAUUUGGAAAAUUAGAAUUUAAAAUUUUAGUUCUGGGGAAUUUCAGGAUUACAUUACGGGGUGAAAUUUUAGGUUGAAAGAAUUACCCAUUAUUUGUAAGAAUUAAGUUGCAGCUUUCUUUUUUUUUUUUUUAAAUUGUCAUUGCAGGUAUAAUUUCCAUUUGUUCCCAAGGGAUGAAUUAAACAUUGGGAUGCCUUCUUACAGUUUUUCAUGCCAAACUUCUUAUUUGACGGCUAUGGCUCGACAAGGUUUCGAUUUUAAUGCUUGCAUAUAUGAUGGUAAAAUCCUAUUCUCUUCACUUUUUUAACACUUCCAUUACUGAUAUGAUAUUUGUGAAACAUGAUGACAAGUGUCAAAACUUAGUGAAAAGCUUGUGCCUUUUGUGCAUUACUGCAUAAUUCAAGCGAAUUAGAAUCAGGAUAUAAAUUCUGUGGACUUUUGAGCUAAGCUGAAAGAGUUACUUUGUUCUUUUUAUAGGUAUAUCGUACUUAUCGAGAGCACAAGAGUUGGCAGCAAUAGUUCGAAUGGCCAAUCCAAUUAAUUUAAAUUAUGUUGUGGAAGCUUCUUCUUCCCCUCCGACUGUUGCUGAUACAGUAUUUGUAGAAAGGGUUAAAUCUCGUAUUAAGCAUUGGAAAAAGUCCUGUAUCGACUCCACAAGCAAAAAGAUAGAUGGUGAAAGAUUUUGCAUUAGAUGUUUGGUUAUUUAUUAUCUUUUCGUUGCUUCCUGUUGUUCAGUGUGUUAACUUUUUUGUUGGCAGAUGCUCUUGUAAAAUCACUGCAAAAACUUGUCUUAGGGGGUGAACAGUAUGGGUCUAGACCAUGCAUGACAAUAGCCGUAUGCAGUGAACGUCAAGUUCAACUUGUAUCAGAGGUAGACUCACCUGAUACUAGUUUCAAUCUGUAAUUAAGGGAGUGAUGCAAAAUUAAAUCUCAUGUAAUGAUGUUAUGGAAAGUGGGAAUUUUUGGGCUUUUCUUUUGUGAAUAUUGUCAUGAAAUUUGUUUAUUUGAUAUAGAUGUUGAGAGAGUUCUUUGAUGAUCUUGUUGCUUUAAAAAUCCCAACAAAGGGUGGAGGAACCCAGGCAGUUCGUGUUGUUUUAACAAGUUCAAAAGAAGACAAGAGUCUUCUUGAGGUAGCAAAUAAAUCUCGAUCCUUGAUCAGAAUGAGUGGUUUGGUUCUUUCUAAACUUUGUAAAUGGGAAUCUUGAUUAACAGAGGGAGCUUCAGAAUGCUGAAGAGGAACAAAACAAGAAAAUGAGGGGCUUUCGAGAGGUGAUUGAAUUGGUAUCUGCUUCACAGAAACCUGUUGUCUCCCACAAUACCCUUAAUGGUGUAUCUUUAUGGCAAAAGUUCCAGUACUUUUAGUCUAUAUAUUAUGUUUAUGUUUUUUAUUAAUGGUGACCUAAACAAUAACUUGUUCCUGCAGAUUUCUCUGUUAUUCAUUCAAAAUUCAUAGCUCCACUUCCUCUCGACGUGAAUGAGUUCCUUAACUCUUUACAAUCCAUUUUUCCCCUUAUAUUUGAUGUUAACCAUAUGAUGAAGGGAAUUGGUCCUCUAGAAAAUGUGACCAGCAUACCUGCAGCUGUAUCUCACCUCAAGAAUCGUUUCUUUGUGCCCAUUGAAAUGGAACUUUCCCAUGGAGGUUAGUAGGACUCUCUAGUUAUGCUAUGCAGCUGGUUUUCAUAAAUUUCUACUUUCAUUCUUGGCUAACUUGGUAAUGUACCAGAACUACCAAUCACUAGGUUAUUGCUCAUUCUUCACAUUUAUGUCCUUCGUACAUCAUGUUGUGUUUUCCAGCUUUGUUAGAUGAAAGCAAGAUUCAUGGGCAAACUGUUGUAAGAAUAUGUUAUUUAUUUGCAAAAUUGUGCUCUGUACUGAAGAUCACCCCUGGUUCUAUCCAGUCUAGUGAUGGAAAAGUCCUUGAUGGGUAUGCAAAUGCCUUCAGAUCAUGUUCUGGAAAUUCUGUAGAAUCACUUGACGGGGGUAUCAGAAUUUGGACAAAUAGCCCAAGAAAAGUAGAUUGCAAGGAUUUAGUUUUCUUGUGGGGAUUCAGGAACAGGCCGUCUGCUGGAAUGCUUAAGAGCCUGCUUCAAGGGUCCCAUGAUGUUUUCUCUGAAGAAUUUGAUGUCUGUUUAGUUGAUAAGAGCUGUGCCAUUGUGGUUUUCUUUCAUCCUAAUUUAUCUCAAGCUUUCCUGGAUGUAAUGAAUAGUGAAGAAAUCAGUGGAUCAUUAAAGGAAUUGGUCUCAGAAGGCUUAAGGGCAGCAGAUUAUGACACAUACAAGAGGGCCUGUAGUUUGGGUUUAUGGGAGACAGAUUUAGCAAGUUCCUUAGACAAAGCCUCUGCAACUCCUGAUCACUUAUCUCAAAGAGAUCCGGAAACAAAGCCAGCCGAGAUUUACUGGUGCAAUGACUUAAUUAUUAACUUGGACGACUUGUAAGGUACUGACAUUUUCUUUUCUCAGGGAUAUUAUCUGUAUUUGCAACAGCUGAGCAGUAGGCUUAGAGUUGGUAUUAGUGUUGGUACUAGUCUGAUACCAAUCUUUAAGCUGUGAUCAUUCAUUGCUCGGAAAAUCUUCUUAUAGACCAAUCACCUGGAUUGCAGCAGCAUAUAUCAAGUCGGAUUGACCAAUAUUUGGUUUCAUUUAGUAUUGUUUUCCUUGUACCUCUGCUAAUACUGUGCUAACCUUAUGCACAUUUGAUUUGAGUAAUCAUCAUUUGUCAUGUGUUGAAAACUUGUAAGAUUUUGGAAGGCUUUUAUAAGAAGGAUAUAUGUAAGAGAGGUCGGAAAAACUUCUUGACAGAAGUUCCCAAGUUCCGUGUUGGGAGGAAAGUGACUAUAUAUAUCAUUCAUCAAUAAUUAGUGGGAUAAUAGUUUCAAAUAUAUAUAUUUGGCUCUACUUCGCAUUUAACUUUUAAAUAAUUUCGUUUGGAUUUUAACGUGGUUAUUUUUGUUUAAUUAUCCAAAAUUUUACAAAAGUAAUUAACAAAGUUCACAUGUAAUGUAAUACCGUCGAAGAUAUUAGAUUGAAAUUAAAAAAAAAAAAAGAAAAAAACCUGACUGAAAAGGAAAAUUGAAUGGGCUUCAACCAAAACCAGCCCAAUUUGUACUCUCCUUUUUCCUAAUUGUAAUUGAAAAAUAGUGAGUGAAAAGGAGUUUAAACAUCAAAGCAGAACCAGCAAAAACAAUGUCUUCAGCUUCAAUUGCAGUUAACUCCCCAAGCUCCUCAAACCAUUUUAUCAAAGAUGGCGUCACUUCAGUCAAUGUAAAUCGAUUAUGUUCAUUCUCAUUCGAAUCAGGCUUGUUCGGAUCCAAAAUCCCAACGAAAAAGCUCUCACUCUCGGUCAACGGAACCAGACCAACUCGACCCGAACGCAUCAGUUAUUCGGGUUUAGAACCGGUGAAGGCCUCUUCCCGUUCUUUCGACGUCGUGAUUGUGGGCGCAGGAGUCAUCGGGUUGACAAUCGCCCGACAAUUUCUAACCCGAUCGGAUCUAUCCGUUGCGGUCGUCGAUAAGGCCGUACCUUGCUCCGGCGCCACUGGUGCUGGUAAACCCUCUUAUCUUCUCCUCCAAUCCUUUUCGUUAUUAUUUGCAUUUCCUAAACUCUGAUUGGGUGUAGGACAGGGCUACAUAUGGAUGGUACAUAAAAAUCCUGCAAGUGAGACAUGGGAACUUACCAAAAGAAGUCACCAACUGUGGAAGAUGUUGGCUGAGACGAUACGAGACCAAGGCAUGGACCCACUUCAAGUAUUGGGUUGGAAGAAGACAGGUACUAGUUUAAUGUUUACGUAGUUAAAAUGAUUGCAUGUCAUUUUCGCAGCUUGCUAUCCGGCUUCUUUUCGAAUCUUUGUUAAGUAUUUUAAAAGUUAAAAUUUUGAGUUAACUUUUUUCGGAAGUCAUGUAAUAUAUGGUGUUUUUGAGGUGUAGGAAGCUUGUUAGUGGGCAGAACUCCUGAGGAUUCAGUCAUGUUAAGAAAGAGAGUGAGUCAGCUGUCUGAAGCUUGUGUGAGAGCUGAGUAUUUGUCCACUGAUGAAUUGCAUUACAAGGAACCUGCCAUUUAUGUCGGGACUGAUGGUGGAGCUGCUUUUGCACCUGAUGAUUGCCAGUUGGAUGCUCAUCAAGCUGUUUCUUAUAUCGAAAAGGUAUCUUUAUAACCAUGUUCUUAAUUUUUUAUGGCAUUUGGCAUAAUUGUUGGUGUCUUAACUUCAUUUGUAACUAACGCAGACUCCAAUGAUCUAUAGGUUAACAGAUCUUUUGCACCGGAAGGCAGAUAUGCAGAGUUCUAUCAUGAGCAAGUUACAGGUUUAGUAAGGUCGGUUGUCAUUUUCCUGCAGUAAAUUAAUGAUGAUACAAAGAGACAAAAACAUAUUUGUAUAUCAUUACUCAGGUCUGUGUAACUCUUUUAACACCUGUAGUUCAGAUCUACUAGCAGUGGGGAGUUUGAAGCUGUUCAGACUUCCAAUAAUACCUUGUAUGGUAAGGCCAUUGUAGUUGCAGCUGGUUGUUGGAGUCGGUCAUUGAUGCAUGACCUAUUCAAAGGUUCACAUAUUCAAUUGGAUGCCCUUGUAAUGCCUCGUAAGGUGAGAAUGGCUCUUUUUUACCCCUUGUGGAUGCUUGUUAUAGAAUAAUAGGAUGGUAGAUCUUUCUGCUAUAUCAUGACGUUUCAAAAACACUGUAAUUUUUGAUAAAUAUUGGAAGCUAAAUUAGAUAUAUUUAUUAUUUAUGUUCCCCAUCAUGCUCUGUAAUAGUCUUGAUUGUUCAUCAGAGUGCUCUGUGAUAGUUGUAAGCUUGGUAAAUUAUAGAAAAAGUCGCUGAUGUAGUUGCUUGGGCUUUAUAAAUUUUGUGUUUUUUAUAUUUUCUGAAUUAAACUUAACCUGUUUCCAACGUGCAAUGCAUGAGCAUGCACAUAUAUAUAGACUAGAACACAGUUCUAUUUCAUAAUAUUGGAUGCAAAGUGUUGCCUACUAAAAUGCAGUUGAAGAGUGCCAUACAUAUCUUGGAAGGAAAAUUCCUGCAAAGUACUAGGAUGAUAUUUAUUAAUUUUGGUACUGUAAUUCUUUGGUGCUUCUUCCAUGCUUAUUUCUUUAAUUCUCUUUUAUCUCUACAUUGCCUUUGAUAUGCGCCUCAGGGUCACCUUCUUGUCUUUGAGAACUUUAAUCCCCUUCAACUGAAUCACGGUUCGAUGGAGGUUGGUUAUGUUGAUUAUCAAAAUGCAACUUUUCCUUUAGGGCUCGAUGAUCAGAGCCAAACCCUUUCUGUUUCAAUGACAGCCACAACCGACACGAUGGGUAAUCUUGUUCUAGGUAAAUUUUAACACUAUUACUUGCUAUUAUCAAUGCUUGGCUUUUAAAUAUACAUUUACAUAUGGUAAAAUGAUAAUUUUGGUGUUCCUGUGGUUUUGUUAUUCUGAUUCUCUUUAGCACUCAAGGAAGUGUAAGAGUGCAUGGAACUCCAAAAUGUUGUUUGUUUUCCCUGCUCUUAACAAUGUCCUUCAGUUCUAACUUCUAGAUCUUAUGGUUACAUAAUCUGAUAGAUGAUUACCCAGUAGCCUUUAUUUCUGCAAAACAAAAUGCAUAAACAUGCUUAAUUAUGUCUCUCUUUCGUUCCAGUUGUUCACUUGUUCUUUGUAUACAUGUCCUUUGGAUCAUGUUAAUUUGUUGUUUUACGUACUUAUUUUGUUGUAAAUUUAAUCCGUCCUAGGAAGCAGCCGUCAGUUUGCUGGGUUCAGCACCGAGGUAGAUGACUCUAUCGUCCUUCACAUAUGGAAACGGGCUGGAGAGUUCUUUCCCAAAUUAAAAGAGCCGUCUCUUACAGAUUUCAUCAAGAACCGAAAAGUGAGAGUAGGACUACGCCCUUACAGUAAGUCCACAUGCACUUCAUCUACUGUAUAUUUUCAUAUCAUUAGGAUAAACUGCUAUUUUGAAAUUUAGAUAUGCAGAACAGUUGAAUCAACAUAAAAUUCCUGAAACAAUGUCUUUAUUUAUAUGUCAGUGCCUGACGGGAAGCCAGUCAUAGGAAAUGUUCCUGGUUUGUUGAACUUGUUUCUUGCAACUGGACAUGAAGGAGGAGGUCUCUCUAUGGUAACUUUUCUGUCUUCUGUUCCAUAUUGUGGGAACUUUUAUAUUGUUCCAUUUCGGAAUAAACAAUAUGGGUCUUUCCUCGUUUGUUUGCAAUCUGGUGAUCAGUCGACCAUAUCUUUUACAAGGUUUUGUUCUUCAAUAACUCCAUAUCUUGUAAGUUGAAGACAUUUAUUCAUCAAGUUUGUUUAAUUUUCAGGCUUUGGGAACUGCAGAGAUGGUUGUUGAUAUGGUAUUGGGCAAUACCACUUAUGUUGAUAGUUCACCAUUUGCUGCUCAAGGUCGAUGUUGUUAGUUCAAAGUCUCUAUGAAACAGUAAGGAGAAAUAUUAUAGAGGACAGGUCUAGUUUUGGACCAAAUCAUAAGCUGCUGGUUGGACUUUGAACUUUCAUUUUCUGGUCUCAAAUGUAAUCUCUACUUUCAGAAGUAGCGAUUAGAAAAUAAAUUAAGCUUGUGAACUCUAUGGUUUCUAGGGAAAUAAAAGGUUUAUGAAAUUCGAGCUUACUUUAAUUGAUUUGUGAUAUUCAGAAAUUUGAAAUCUUUAUUUUCGAUUAAAAAAAUAAUUUAGAUUUUCUCAGAAAAGUCACUUGAAAGGUGAGUGUGGAGUUUACUGCCCAUAAUUAUAAAUAUUGGAAUUGAUGUUAAGAUUAGUGGUAGAACUAAGAUAUUAUAAGUAUGAAAAUUAAUAAUAAUUAGUAGAGUCGGAUUAUUAGUAUUAUAUAUGGAUAUUUAAAUGUAUUUAUUUGAAUCAUGGAUUUCAAAUUUUGUUCUUAUUUUUAUAAAUAUAUAUUUGAUAUUUAGUAAUUGUAUGUAUAUACAUUUUUAUUAAAAAUUUAAAUAUAAACAAUUUAACUUAAUAUUUAUAUUAUAAUAUAAAUUAUAUAAAAAACUUUUAACAUAAUUUUUUUAGGGUAACGAAGAAUUAACAUAUGAUGAUUUUUUUUAGUAUGAUCAUAAAUAUUUUUGUCCGUUCCGCCUUUAAGACUAGUUCUAUUCGGGUAAGUAGUAUUUAGGUAAAGUACUCUUAAUAAUAUUAACUUUUAAGAUUCGUAACAUAUUAUAAUUUUAAAAACGAAUCAUUUCAAACUAAAACAUCGAGCAUUAGAAUUUUAAUUUUAUUCAUAUUUUAAAUAUAAAUUUCAUUUUUAAACUAAUAAAUUUUUUUCUCAAAAAUUAAGCUUCAUAUUUUUGUUUACAGCUAAUCAAUAUCGGAUCUAACUUUCGAAUAUUAGCAAUAAAACCAUUUUUGUAUAUUAAUUUUCUUUUAUUUUGGCAGGGAAGGAAAACGUAAUGUUAGGUUGGCACCGCAGGCUUGCGAACCGUAGGGAACCCACUUUGCAAAAGUCAAGCUCCGAAUAACCGAACCAAAUCGCUGAAAAGAAAUACAACACUGAACGGCCCACCGAACUGAACCUCCUCUCCAAUCUUUCUCUAACUCUCCCCCCCCCCCCCAAAAAAAAAAACAAAAAAUAAAAAAAAAUAUGGCGAUUUCGACGCUCCAAAAACUCACCUCCCAAAUCCACCGUCUCCCAUCUCUCUCCUCCCAAAUCCUCACCCGAUCCUCCGCCACCUUAACCUCCUCCCCCUCCUCUUCCAAAAAAGUUGCUGAUCGGCUCGUCAAGCUCUUCGCCAUCGACCCUGAAGGCCAGAAGCGUGAGGUUGUGGGCCUAGCUGGCCAGACCUUACUUCGUGCCUUGACUAACAGCGGCCUGAUCGACCCCGACUCUCACCGCCUCGAGGAGAUCGACGCUUGCUCCGCCGAAUGCGAGGUCAACAUUGCACAGGAGUGGCUCGAGAAGCUUCCGCCACGUACCUAUGAUGAGGAGUAUGUGUUGGUGAGGAAUUCGAGGGGUCGCAUCUUGAACAAGCAUUCCAGGCUUGGAUGUCAGGUCGUGCUUACGCCUCAUCUCCAAGGUAUGGUCGUCGCCGUCCCCGAGGCUAAGCCGUGGGAUAUUCCAUAAAUAUUUGUAGGGGAAAAAGAGAUGAAUGUGGGAACAUUUAGUGCAUUUCUGUUGUUUUCCUGGAAGUAAUAAUAAUUUUGUUACUUUGAAUGAAACGAAUUUUAUUUAUGAUUUUUAUGCAUUGCUGCACCAUGUGAUUUGGGUGCUUGGAAUUUAAAUUCAAGAUAUUCUACAGUUUUUUAAUGCUAUUUUGCGAUUUCUUCAUUGUCAUGCUUUAUUAAAUUUCUAGAAAGUUAUAUUGCCUCUUUGGAGAGAAAUUACAGGGAACUGUGAUUGAAUUGACUGAGAUUUUCUUUUUCAAGUAUUGAAUAUUAUGUCAGUUGAUUGAUUUUCUAGAGCUGUAGCAAAGAAAGAAAAUCAGAUGUUUCUCUGGAAGGUUUCUGAUUUGUUAAUGUGAGGUAUCAAAAUUGUUUAUUGGAGGUAAAUUUGAUCUUUUCUUUUUCCUUCAUCACUCCUGUAGGGCUGUAUGCUUAAGUGGUGAUAUUUAAUUCCCUAGCAAACCUAGUUUAUGUAUAACUGAUUGUAGGUAACGUUAUUCUACAGAUUCUAAUGAUUUAUGAGCAAAGGGAGUGUUUUUGUGUUGUGACUUAACAGACCAGAUCAGUACAGCAUCAGACUUUUUUAGCUAUAGUACAAAGAUCACACGACUAUAAUUGCAUUUUCGUUCAACUUGGUUGAGUAUCGGAUUGCUUAGGAACAUAGGGAUGAGUGGAUGACAUACUCUGCAGAACAGUGUACUUGAUAUUCAAUUUCAAUUAAGCCGUCCAUUAUUAGUUUAAGCCACAUAAGUACAGGAAAGAGCUGAGUUAUAUUCCAAUGGGUUUAAAAUAAUAUAACUUGCAAACAAAAGAAGAUCCUACAUAAGUUGAUUUUCUUGAGAACUCCAAGUUAAAGGUCCCCGAUUUCAAUACACUUUAAUUCCAGUUCAGGCUUUAUACUUGUACUCCUAAUAUGAAUUUCUAUUCCCAGUAAAAGGGGGUUAUCUUUUAUGAGUUACAAUAGGUUAAAUUUCUGUAGUUCAUUUAGUGGAAGUCUUUCUUUCCCCCCCUAAAAUGUUAUAAUAACUUUGUCCCCAAAUCAGACUUGGGAUUUUGUGUAUACCUUUCUUCUGAACUAGACCUAACAAUGCCUUUCAUUUUGUGAUGUUAAAGUUAUAAUCUUCAAUGUUGUCUCAAUUUUAGUGUGUUAGCUUUGACUACUGGGUAUGGUUUAAUCUUAUACAUACUGGUUUGGAAUUAGGAUAUCUCUUAUUCAAUAACUGGCUUGAUGCAUUGUAUAGGCAGUAAAGAGUUUGAAAUGAUGGAGGAUAUACUUCAGAUGCUCAACAUACUUCGGUUUUAGAAAGCUUAGUUUACAAUAUUGAAAUUGCUGAAAUCCACUCACAGUACACAAGAGAACCUCAUCUUGUCAUCUCUUAUAUUCAGUAAUUAUAUUAGUCAUUUAGCGGGCAUUUGGUUCACAGAAUCUCAUGUUCUUGGGUUGCGGAAUGACAUUUUCUGUUUUCGAGCCAGUAAAUCUUUCCUUCUCAAUAGUGCCAAGAUUCCGAAAUAUAGAGGGUAACCUCAAUACAUCUUUCUUAGGUAAUGUAAUGACAUCUCAUGAGAAAAUUUUGGUGCUACUUUGGUUUUAGUAGUGUCAUUUUUUGCUGUUUCGUGAUGUAAAGCAGUGGAGCAUAAGAAUUGGCUGAAUUGAACCUUGAGUUGUUGACCUUGUUUUCACCCAAUUAUAAUAGUGUGGUAUGUUGAUGUGCCCACUGGAUGCGAUGAAUCUUGAUAUUGUUACAACUACGGGCGUAUUUCUUGAGAGCAGGCAGUGUGGAUUCUUGCGUUUAAAGUUGACGCUCGGUGUAGAUAGAAGUUUGACUCAUUUGCGUAAGCUUGUAAAAUAUGUGUUUGAUUCUCGUAUUCGAUUUCAUAUCUUGUUAUUGUGUUGGAGCUCAAAUUUCAGUACUAAUUAAAAUCAAAUUUGACUUAGUUAAUAGCUUGAAUGACAAUUUAGUCUAACUCAAAUUAAUUAUGAAUACGAGUGUUUAUAAAUAUUUAGAUUCAUUUGGUUUUUAAUUUUUUAAGAAAUUCAAACUAAAAUUUUGUUUUUAAUAUUAGUACCUAUUUUGUUAAUAUAUAAGAAAUACAAUUUUAAAAUUCUUUAUAUUUAAACAUUAUUAAGUAAAGCAUUUUUUGCCUUUAUAUAAUUUGAACUCUUGUUAAUUCAUUUAAAAUUUAAAACCUGUGUUUUUAACUCUCUUUCUUCAUUUUACAAAGGCUUUUAGGUGUUUUGAUAAAUUUAAAACUUAAUUAGUAAAUUUAAGCUAUAAAAUUCGUUUGAGAUAUUUAUUAAAAUUAAGUAUACCUUCGAUAAAUAAAAAUUUAAAGGUAAAAUAUUUAAAGGAUCAUGUUAAAAAAAUUUUAAAUUUUAAAAAUUUAAAAACUUCUACUUAAGUGAUAAGUAACUCUUUAUUUUCUCACAAAUUUUCAUUGAAAAAAUCUUAUCAUUGUUUUUUUAUCAUGGAUUAUUAAACAUUCUUAAAAAAUUAAAUCAUUAAAAAUAUUAGGUUUCGUUUGGUUUAGGAAACAAAAGUCUUUUUUGUCUUAUUUUUUUGAAAAUUGGAAAACAUUGAGAAAAAAUAUUUGGUUGAAAGUUUUUAAAAUAUAUUUACAAAUGAAAAUGAAAAUAUGUAAAUUAAGAAAUAAUAAAAUAAUUAUUUUCAUUAUUUUCACUAACAAAAACUUUAUAAAAGUGAAAAUAUUGAAAAUAAAAGGUUUUUAUUUUUUAUUUUCUUCGUGUCAAUUCUGUUUUUUUUUUUGGUAAAAUAAAGGGUUUUAAUUUUAAAUAAAUUAAAUCUGGUUUUAACUUAUAUAGACACAAAAAUAUUUUUUAAAACUUUUGAAAAUAGAAAAUAAAAAUUAUCAUCUGAAAACAAAAAUAAAAAUGAAAAUAAAAUAUAUUUUAAAAACCAAAGGAACUUACUUUUAUUCAAUGGAUUAUCAAAUUUUAGAGUUUCUAAUUUUUUUUUCAAUUAACCAUAUUAUUUUAAAGGAUUUUCAUUAUUAAAAAAAUCCAAAACAAAAGUAAUUUGAUUCGAAAUCAUAUUUGAUUUAAGUUUCUAGCUUGUACCUUGUACUGACUGUUUAGAGUUCUUCUUUAAAGAAAAAAUAUUAGAUUAAUUUAUUAAAUUUUUUAUGAUGGAAAAUAUUUCAAUUUUGAGUAACUAUACACCAUCACUUAAAUCAUAUUACAAAUAUACUGGGCCUUUGGGGCGCAAGCCUGAUUAGCUACAAAACCCUAACUUCUUUUUUCUAUAUAAAUAGUAUCCCAUUCUCACCUCUUCUUCUCCGCAGCUUGUGUUAUGUUAAUAGCAGAAUCAUUUUCUUUUUCCUUGGAUUUUCGUAUGUUUCUAAUUUUCUUCAUGCUUUUUGUGAGUAAAAAUUUGCAUGAUUUUAAAGCAAGUCAGCUUCUUGGUUGGGUUGCAGAUAGAAUCGACUCAGUCAAUCAAAUAAUGGAAAAAUACUUGCGAUAUGUAUACUCAGCCAGUAUCACUCACCUGAAUCUCAUCUUCUUUUUUUUCUGGUUUUUCAGGCCCUUAUCUUUCUGGCAUAUUCAUUUUCUUUUCCUUUUUUUUUUUUUAAAAAAUUCUUAAAAGAAAAGUGGAAAUCUUUGUAAACGCACUCUGCGAAAGGUGAAUUUGUUUUGAGGCAAUUUCUUCGUUUGCUAUAUAUCAUUCAUCUAUAUGAAAUCUGGUGUCUAUGUUUAUAUAUGAGUGAAGAAGGAGAAGAUGGCCAUGAUGAUUAUAGAAAUUUAAAUCUCGUUAAUCUGAUUCUAUAUAUGAGGAUGAAACUUUCCAUCCAUUCUUAAACAUUUUCUGAGCCUCUUCUCUCUCUUUGCAAAAACAAAUUUUUUUGUCAGAUCAGCAACAAAAAAAAUUGUAAAGCAAAAUUAAAGAGAACUUAAGUAAGCAAAAUGUUUUGGGAACUACCACAAAAGUAUUUCAAUAUUAUUAUUUGACGUCAAAGGUUAAAUAUCUUCUUGACUUUGAAAAAUUAUGUCAACUUAAGAGCUUGGUAAAUACAUCAAUUUGAUCCACUCUAUUUCAGUUGUUUUUUCAUUGUUAAGAUUUAGUAGAAAGUAAAAUUUUAUAUCAAUAUGCUUGCCUCAGUCUUUCAUGGUUGCAGAAAAUUGUACCAACAAUGAAUUCAAUUUUUGUGCUUUAUAAUGUAACAAUUGAUUGCUUCUUAGAAAAUGAAAUGCACUGUGUCAAGCAUAAAAGCAUAGCUUGAAGUUUUCAUUUUGUUUAUCUUAAUCUCUUGUAUAAUUAUUGUCGGUGAAGCCAAUCAUGUUUGACAUUUCACCUUUCUUGUAGAAAAUCUCAAAAUUCUUUGUAUUUUUGUAAGUAAUGAAGGAUUUUCUUGAUAACUAAUAAAUGCUUUUUGGUUGGGCUUUUCAUCUACUUGCUAAUAAGACUCAUAAAAUACAUAAUGUCCGUUCUUGCAGUAGUUAUAUACAUUAAACUGCCUACAAUUUGCUUGUAAAUUGUGCUACCUACUUUGUUAAAGUGUUGGUUGAUCUGAAAUUUAUCACCUUGAAUUUAUUCAAAAAAAAUUUCACAUAUUUUUUUUAGGAGAAAUUUCAUCAUAAUAUUGCAUUUAGGUCAAGAAAAUAGUGCAUCUUUCCAAGAUCAAACAUCUGAAACUAAUUCAUCAUAGAUCUUUUGAUAUCAUCGAACAUUACACAAUCAUUCCUAGUAAAAAUAAGAUGGGUAACAUUUAAUCACAUAAUUAACAUCUUUCCAUUAUCUUCAAUUUUAACAAAAAGUGUGUUCAUACGGACAUUUUUGAAACCCCAUUUUCAAAAAAUAACCUUUAAUGUGACCAUACUAAUAACGUGGAGCUUAUUUUAGUCCAGGAAGAGCUUUCUUUAAUAGAUAAAUUUUAUGCUCAUUUCUAACCUUAAUAUAAUCAGGGGUUGUUCAACAAAUACCAUUUCUUCUAAAUAUCUAUGUAAGAAUGUCGAUUUUACAUCAAACUUAAAGGUAGGCUAAGAGUUUGACGCUGCUAAAACAACCACUAAUUUGAUGGUGUCAUGUCUUGUAAUUAAGGCAAAAACUUGUGUAGUCCACACCAUAAUCUUGUUUGUACCUUUUAGCUUGUCAACCUUUCCAUUUUCCUUUAGUUUUGUCUUUUAGACCUAUUUGACUCCAAUGGUUUUGUGCCCUUUAAACGAUCAAUCAACUCCCAAGUAUUAUUUCUUUCAAUGGUUUGGAUUUCAGCAUCCAUUGCCUUUUUUCAUUUUGCCUCAUUGACAACAUUUUCAAAACUUGUUAAGUUACAAUAUGCAAAUAAUGCAAAAUGAGCAAUUGCAUCAUCAUUUUCUCCAAUUUCGACAACUUCAUAAUCUUGCAUUCAUAAGUGCUUCAGUUGCUAUACUAGAUUCUUCUCUAUGUGUAGCAAUACUUUAGUGGUUGGUGGAGAAGUAUUAUUAGGCAUUUCUUCAACUUCAUUAUCAUAAAGGAAUUGAGGAGGUUGCGCUUCAUCCUAAUUUCAUAUGUUUUCUUCAUUAAACACAACAUCUCGGCUAAUCACGACUUUCUUUGUCGCAAGAUUGAACAAUUUGUAUGCCUUUGAUAUUUUGCUAAUAUCAACAAAAACACACUUCUCACCUCUAUCAUCAAGCUUUUUUUUUUCUUUUGGGACAUAUGCAUAGGCAAUGCACCGUUGAUCUUCUUCCACUCCAAGCCUCCUCCGGAGUCACAUCUCGAAGAGCAUGAGUGAGACUCCUAUUCAAGAUGUGGAUGCUCCAAAUUACAACUUAUGGCCAAAACAUCUUUGGAAUUCUCCCUCUUGCUAGCAGGCUUUAAACCAUGUUGGAAAUAAUUCUAUUUUUUUCUCUCUGAUACACCAUUUUGUUGUGGUGUAUAAGCGAUUGUGAGUUCUCUUCGAAUGCCAUGAACGUCACAAAAAAAUUCAAACGCCUUCAGGUAAUAUUCACCACCAUGAUUAGUUUGGAGAACUUGAAUGGUUCUUCCAUUCCUAUUUUCUAUAUGAGCCUUGAAGCUUUUAAAUGCAUUAAGAGCUUCUAAUUUUUCUUAUAGAAGGUAAACAUAAGUUUUACGAGAAUAAUCUUCAAUAUAGGUAAUAAAAUAGCCUUUACUUCCAUUAGAAAUUGGAUUUAUUCCCCCACAAAUGUCUGAGUGCACCAACUUCAGUACAUAUUUUGCUCUCCAUGAUCUGCCAUUGAAAAAUUGAGAUCGAUGUUGUUUUCCAACAACACAUUCUUCACAAAUUAGGGAAAGAUAAAUAAUUGGAGGAAGACCAGUCACCAUUUUUUUUUCAAGUAUCUUCAAACCACCAAAGUUUAAAUGGCCAUAGCAAAAAUGUCAUAGCCAUGAAAAAUAUUUAACUUCUGUCAUCAACCAAGAUUGAACAACCUCAAUCUUCAAUGGAAACAACCUAUUCUGACUCAUUUUCACAAUGGUAACAAAUCUUUUAAAUGGAUCAAAGAUCUCGCAAGCACAUUUUCUGAGAGCGACAACAUACCACUUUUUAAAUAGUUGACCAACACUCAAAAAUUGUUUUUUUAAAGAAAGAGUAUAUAACACAUUAGACAUAGUUUCCACAAAACCAUUCUCAGUUCUAAUAUUGAUGUUAUAUUUUCUUAUGACAUCUACAGUAGAACAAUCACCAAAGCUGACUGUAGAAAAAAAAUCAUUAUUUAAAUACAAAAAAGAUUAUUUACUUCCACACAUGUGAUUACUGCAAUCUGUAUCUACAUACCAAACAUCUGGCUCAAGUUCUUUUUCAACUUGAACUACCAUCAAUAAUGUUUUUCAUUUUUCUCAACAAAAUGUGAUUGUUCAUCCUUAUCACUUGGUAGCCUAGCAUAACAUUCAAAAUAAUAAUGACCAAACUUUUGACAUCUGAAGCGUUUUAUCUUAGAUUUGUCAAAAUCUCGUACUUUUUCUUUACUUUGGUCUUCAUUGAUUUUUGUAAUUCUCGUUGUCAUUUAUGUUGCCACCAUCUUUACUACCUUGAUCUACUCUUCCUCUACCUCUACCUCUACCUCUACCUUUACCCCUUCCUCUAAAAUUGGAAGAAGAAAUAAAAGUAGAAGUCUUUAAAGCUUGUUCCUUGCAGGUUGAAUUACGAUUCAUUUUUUGCUCAUGCACCAAAAAAGAGCUUUGAAACUCAUCAAGAGACAAUUCAUUUAUAUCUUUUGACUCUUUGGCGUAAAUGACAUAGUUAAACUUUAGCGUCAUGGAGUGCAGAAUAUUCUCCUUUAUGGUGACAUCCUCUAUCUUCUCACCAUGAAACCACAUCCUGUUACAAAUCUCCAUGGUUCUAGCAUAAUAGUUAGUGACAGAUUCCCCUUCCAUCAUCUAUAGAGUCCCGAAAUCCUUCCUCAAGGCUUGAAGUUGUGCUUGCUUCACUCUAACAGAGUUUUGAUACUUUUUUCUUCAUAGAAUCUUAUAUAUCCUUGGCAGUUUUUUUUUUUGCAAAGAAUAGUUUCCAAGAAGGGGCGAUUAAUAGCUUGAAAGAGAUAAUUCUUUGCCUUCAAAUCUUUCAGCUUUCUCGCUUCAAACUCUGCUUUCUAAGCAUAUGUCAAAUUUUCUCCUUCCACAGGCUCUUCGGUACCUACCUCAACAAUUGACCAAUACUCUUUUGACCAUAGAAAAUUCUCCAUCAACAUACUCCAAUGGUCAUAGUGACCAUCAAAAUGAAUAAUGGUUGCUUGAACAAAACUACUUUCUGAGGCCAUAGGUGAAACCUUUUCUAAGCUAACAAGAACAAACUUGGCUCAAAUACCAUUGUUACACUUACAAGUAGAGAAAGAGAGAAAAACGGGCUUUUAAUUUAAAUGAGAGAAGAUUUUUAUUAGACUGAUGUAUAACUCCAAAUGGUUCUAGUCUUUUAUAGGCUUUGACAUAACUAAAAUUAGGAAACUAAAAGCUAAAAAUAACGAAAAUAAAUGCGAAAAUAAAGAAAUAAUUCAUUCAAAAGAUAAGAAAUAGAAUUGAAUUGGACAAAAGACAAGUUGAUUAACCGUGUACUAGGUUCGAGACAGUAAGAUGGUUGUUGAUUGGGGUUUGGGGGCUUAAAGUGAUUUCUAAAUUUGAAAAAUCAAGAUAAAAGGAUUAGAUUUAAGUGCAAUUAGCAUUUAUUAAUUUAUAAAGGAAUAAUAUUUUCAAAUUAACCUCAAAUCUAUUAAUAACAUGAAAGAAAAUUGCAACUCUUAAGUGUGGACAUCAUGAACAAUUGUAAUUUGAUUGGUUUUUGCAAUUAGAAAAAAAAUCAAUUUAAUGAAUUAAAAUUUUAAUUAAUAAAAAAAUUUAGUUCAGACUAUUUUGAGUUUAUCGAAUCAAGCGAUAACUUAACCCUUUGAAAUAUAUAGCGGUGAUAAUGUUAAAUUUUCAAAUUUUGAUUUAUUGUGUUAAUUUUUUUUUUCCAAAGUUUGAUUUAUGAGGUGUUAUAAUUUAAUUAAGGACAAAAGUGAUAUUUCAUAAAAUAAUACCUAUAUUUUACUUGUUAAAUACUAUAAUCAAACAAAGUAAAAUAUUUGUGAAAAAUGAUUUUAAAUUUAUCUAUGGUUAUUUAUUAACCUAAAUUAAUUUUUCUUAGUAUUAUAAGCAUUUUCUUAAAUUAUCGUGCGAGUAACCAAAUAAGAUAGUAAAAUUAUAAAGAUGACUUAUAUAAUGAUAUUUUAACUCUACUUGUAAAAUUAAAAUAUUUUAUGAACAUAUGAUAUAACAUUUACAUUCUUAUAAAUAUACUUUUUAUAUUUCUCCAUAAAUUUUAUUUAAAAUUAUCUUAUAAAAAUGCGAUAAAAAUAGCCAAAUAUACCAAAACACCAAACUGACUCCUAAUUACUCUCAAAUUUUAGAUCUAAAUUGAUAACCACUUAUUUUCAUUAAACCAUAUUUUAUACUUUUUUUUAGUGUGGAAUUAGGAUGCUUAAAAUCCCAUUUUUUCCCCUCCACUCCCACCUUAUUCUUUUUUUUUUCAUCUCAUUCACUUAAUCCCUUUGAAUUUUCCUUGUUAGUAAUUACCCUCUCUCAUUAUUUAAAAUUUUUUUCCCUUUGAGCUUGCAACAUUGUUUUCUUGUUAAAAUUUACUUUGUAUUUGUUUUUCAGAUGGAUCCUAUAGAACUUGGUCGAAUGUUUCAAAUGUUUGAUAGAAAUGGAGACGGUAAGAUCACAAAACAAGAGUUCAGCUAUUCGUUAGAAAAUCUAGGCAUCUUCAUUGCCGAUGAUGAUUUAAGCCAAAUGAUUGAAAAGAUCGACGUGAACGGAGACAAUUAUGUCAAUAUCAACGAAUUUGGAGCAUUGUAUCAAAUGAUAAUGGAUGAUAGAGAUGAGGAAGAGGACAUAAAAUAAGCGUUUAAAGUAUUUGACCAAAACGGAGACGGAUUCAUUACGAAUGAGGAGUUGAGAACGGUUUUGGCAUCAUUGGGGCUGAAGCAAGGAAGAACAAUAGAAGAUUGCAAGAGGAUAAUAAAGAAAGUGGACGUGGAUGGAGAUGGAAUGAUUAAUUUCAAGGAGUUCAUGUAAUACCCCUCUAACCCUAAACCGUCGCCGGAACAGGUUUACGAGGCAUUACCGGAAAAUCAGACAAUUUACAAUUAAUAUUCAAAUAAUUAUCAAACAUAUUAUAAUACAAUCAUAAAUUCAUAUAAAACUUUUGUUAAUUGACUCUUUUAAAAAAAAUCAAUAUAACCCCUCUAUAAAUAUUUAACCUUCCUUGCAAAUUUCAAAUUGUAACCAAACCAAUUCCAGUAUUCCAACCAAUGCAUUUAUAUACUCAAAUAUACUUAAAUCAUACUUGACAUAUUGACUUAACAACUUAAUUAAUGAAAACCCUAUUAUCAAUUCUAAUUAGCUUAUAAAACUAUUCAAACCAUUUUAAUUCAAUACCAAUGCCAUAAACAAUUUGGACCAUUUCACUAAUUUAAUUAUCAAAACACCAAAUACCUUUCUUUACAACAAAAUUUAUAUAACAUACCAAAAUAACCAUUAUAAUCCCUAUGCACAUGCCACUUUCACUUAAAAAGAAGAAACAUCACCAAAAUCUUGAUGCUGAUGUCGGGAUCAUUUGGGUGCUAGACCGGGACACUAGACUCCUAUUAACCUGCGCCCAGAAAUAACCGUACGCUGAGUAUUCCUUACUCAGUGGUAUUACCAUAAUUCAAAUUAUAAUAGCAAUAAAGAAUUAUAAUUCCCAAGCAUGUAACUAUCCAAUUUCUCAAAUAUCAAUUCAUUCUUCAACUUUCUUUAAUUAACAAUAACAAUACAAUUUUUAGCUAUUCUUCAAUUUCCAUCACAUAUCACAUGUAACAAUUUCAACCACUACAUGAACAUUAAGUUCAUGUCUUUCAUUUUCAAUCUCAAUUUCAAUCCAUAAUUCAACUUUCUCAUUUCUUUUAAUAUUUUCAAUAAUAUAAUCAAUCAAUUUAUUUUAAAUUUCUCAUUUUAGUUGUUCACCCUAUUAAUAAACCCAGACUUUGACAGAUACACGGAUUCCAACCCAAACACACCAGUACGGCACAUUGUGCCUAAAAAGGUACAUAGUACCUAAUCAGUAUACGACAUAUAAGUGCUUGAAACGACACACAAGGUACCUGAAAUACGACACAUAAAGUGCCUGAUUGGAAAAGCCGAUAAAUCCCGUACUCUUUCAAAUUCUAUGGCAUGCCAAUUAUAUCCGACUUAGCCCGACUAGUUAAUAGGGUAUUCCAAUUACUUUUCAAUUUCAUUCUCAAUUUAAUUACAACUCAAUUCAAUAUACUUUUCCAUUUCAAUCCACAUACAAUUCAAUUUCAAUACAUAUUCAUCAUUCAACUCAAUUUUCAUUCAAUUCAACAAUAACACUUACCUUAUAAUUUACUUACCAUAUACAUAAAUUAAUUUAACAUUUAAUGAAUAAAUAAAUAAUUUGAAUUAUAGUAAUACAAACCCAAAUCUCGCAGUUACUCCUCGACGACCAUCUCCUUCCCUUUUUGUGCCGAUACCUCGAAUUUUUUAUUAGCUACGAAAAUUAAAUAAUUAUACUAUUAAUUACAGCACAAAUUUUACAAUAAUAAUUGAAUUUCUAUUCAAUUUAUUCCUUAUUCUCAAUUUGAUCCUAACUAAGUUCACUUACUUUCCUAACUCAAUUUAUACUUUAUUUCUAUUCAAAUUUUGACCAAACUCAAAUUUAACUAUUAAAUUUUUAGCAUAAAUCCCUAAUUUCGAAUUUUUCUCAAUUUAGUCCCUACAACACAAAACUUAUAGUUUCUUUUACAAUUUAAUCCCUUUAUCAAUUCUAACUUGAAAUUCAUUCAAUUAAAUCCCUAAUUCAACAAUUUGUCCAACAUGAACCAUGCUUAAAAACCUAUAAACUUCCAAAACCUCAACUUAUUUUCAACAAAUCUUUAUUUUAAAGCUUCUAAAUCAUCAAAAUUAAAUAAAAAAGCUUAAUUGACUUACCAAUCAAAGCUUUAAACCUUAAACCUUUAGUUUUUCCUUUUUCUUUUCUUUCUUUCAUUUUUCUGCUCUAUUUCGAAUGCCUCUGUUUCUUUCUUCUUUGUUUUUCUUUUUAUUUCUUUUUGGUUUAUUUACUUUAUGUUAUAAUAAUAUAAUAUAUAAUAAUUAUUUAAUAACAAAUAUCUUUUAACUUAAAUUAUAAGUAAUUAUAUAUUUAUUUUACAUUUGUAAUAAUAAUUUUAUUACAAUUGUCAUUAUUUAAUUUGUUUAUCAAACAAAAAUUUAUAAUUUAAUUAUUUAAUUAAUAAAUAUUUAUUUUUCAAUUUAAAUAUAAAUAUUACAAAUGUAUAUAUUUUAUUCAUACACUUGUAAUAAAUCAUCUCCAUCCACUUGUCUUUCAUUUUAUUUCAUCAGAUCUUAUUUCAUCAUCCUAUAAAAAUCUCAUAAUAUAAUUAAUAUAAAUUAUAAUUUAAUAAAUUAAUAAUAAUAAUACACUAUAAUAAAUAUCUAUUUAAUAACAAGUAUAAAUACUACAAUUGUACACAUAUAUUUUUGUACAUUUAUACAAUAUAUUCACCAUCCAUUUGACUAAUUCGUAAUUUAUUUAUCAUACAAUUAUCUUUAUUUUAUUUUUUUUCCUAUAAUAUAAUAUCUUAACUUUAAUUAAUAUAAUUUAUAAUGUUUUAAUUAAAAAAUAUUUUUAUAAUAUAAAUAAAAAAAAAUCUAAGAUUUUUCCAUGCAUUGCCGCCUCAUCUUAAGCCAUAGGCUUAUUUACCUAUUUAGUCCCUCUUAUUUUCUUUUACUUAAUAAUUAAACUUUACACCUUAUUCAAUUUAGUUCUUUUCACUAAUUACUCUAAAUUAAGCUAAAUUCACCUAAUUUAAACCUAAUUAAACACACCACUAAACUCAUAAAUAUUUAUAAUAAUUAUUUUUGAACUCCAUUUACUAAUACGGAGGCCCGAUAUUGUACUUUUCCAAUGCCCGUGAAUUUUGGGUCAUUACAGUUUAAGCAUAUGAUGAAAGGAGGUGAAUUUGUCGCAUUGAGUUUAAGUUGAUAUGUGGAGGGAAACAAAUUGUUCAAAUAUAUAAAUAUCUUCUAAACUAACCUUAAAUAAGGUUUAUGAUUAAUAUAGAAGAUAUUUGUGUAUUUGAACGAGGCUUAAACAUCUGUGAAAGAUCGUGUUUGAAAUUUAACCGCUGACUUCAGUUAAAGUUCAAUUGGAAGGUGGUAGUAAGGUUUAAUCUGUUAGUUGUAAUUUAAAUAUUAUGUUUUUUUUUUAUUUGUUAGUAAUUUUUUUCGAAUGUUGAAUUGGAUCUUGAGUCUCAAACUGAUCUUCAUCUUGAGGCAAUGAACUUAAACCUACUUUAAACAUUGGUGGGAGAAAAAGAAGUUCAUUACUUAAGGGGGCUACUUUUGCAACACCCCCUAACCAUAAACUGUCGCCAGAAUAAGGUUACGAGGCAUUACCGAACAUAUCAGACAAUUUACAAAUAAUUCUUAAAUAAAUAAAAAAUAUAUUAUAAUAUAAUCAUAAAUUCAUAUAAAACUUUUGCUAAUUGACUUCAUUUUUUUCUUUUAAAAAAAAACUCAAUAUAACCCAUUUAUAAGUAUUUAACCUGUCCUACAAUUUCAAAUCGCAACCAAUUCAAAACCAAUAUCACAAUCCAUACAAUUUCAUAUUCAAAUACAUCGAAAAAAUAACUUAAACAUCAACUUAGUAAUUUGCUAAAUAAACAUUCGCAUAUAUAAAAGAGAGAAAGAAGAAACAGAGAACAGACGAAAAAGAAAGAAAAGAAAGGGGAAAGAAAAGAAAAAGGGAGAAUUGGGAUUUGGAAGCUUCAAGUUUAAUUGGAAAGCUAAACUAAGUCCUUUUCUCUUAAAUUUGAUGUUUUAAAAGCUUUAAAACAAUGUUUUAUUGAAAUUAAGUUGAUAUUUUAAGAGUUCAUAGGUUUUCAAGUUUAGUUUAUGUUGAACAAAAAGAUGAAUUAGGGAUUUAAUUGAAUGAAUUUCAAGUUAGAAUUGAUAAAAUGAUUAAAUUGUGAAGUAAGCUAUAAGUUUUAUGUUGUAGGGACUAACUUGAGGAAAAUUCAAAAUUAGGAAAAUAUGCUGGAAAUUUAAUAGUUAAAUUUGAGUUUGGAUAAAAUUUGAAUAGAAAUAGAGAGUGAAUUGAAUUAGGAAAGUAAGUAAACUUAGUUAAGGUUAAAUUGGGAAUGAGGUAGGAAUUGAUUAGAAAUUUAAUUAUUUAUUAUAAUUAAUGUUGUAAUUAAUAGUAUAAUUAUUUUAAUUUCCAUAGCUAGCAAAGAACCCGAGGCUUUGGCACCAAAAGGAAAGGAAAAAGUUGUCGGGGAGUAAUCGAACAAAUCCGGGUUUGUAUUAUUAUAAUUCAAGUUAUUUUUAUUAAAUAUUAAAUUUUUAAUUAUAUGUAUGGUAAGUAAAUUAUGAGGUAAGUAUCAUUAUGGAAUUGAAAAGGAAAUUGAAUUGAUGAUGGAUAAGUAUUGAUAUUGAAUUGUAUAUUGAUGAAAAGUGAAAUUGAAUUGAUUCGUAAAUGAAUUGAAAGUGAUAUUGAAUUGAGAAACUGAAUCGAAUACCCUAUUAACGAGUCGGGUUGAGUCGAAUAUAGUUGGCAUGCCAUAGGAUUGGAAGAGUUCAGGGAUACUUCGACCUCGAGUCGAUGAAACUGUUGCUCCGGAUAGAUUCGAUGAGGUACUGGGUACCAACUUUACUUCGGCUAGGCCAAUGAGACAUUGGGUGUCAAAUAUUACUUCGAACUAUCCAAUGAGGCACUGGGUGUCAAUUUGGUGUGUUUGGUUGAAAUUGAUACUAAAAUGAUAUUUUGAUACUUGGUUUAAUGAAAUGGAAAUAGAAUUAUCAUAACAUAUGUGGUAACAAGUUGAAAUAUUUGACACCCAAACACACCAAAUUGGCACCUAGUGCCUCAUCGAAUAGUUCAAAGUAAUAUUUGACACCCAGUGUCUCAUCAGCCUAGCCGAAGUAAAGUUGACACCCAGUAUAAAGUUGAUAUCUAGUACCUCAUCGAAUCUAUCUGAAGUAACAGUAUGACACCCAGUGUCUCAUCGACUCAAGGUCGAAGUAUCCCUAAACUCUUCCAAUCCUAUGGCAUGCCAACUAUAUCCGACUCAACCCGACUAGUUAAUAAAGUAUUCGAUUCAUUUUCUCAAUUCAAUAUCACUUUCAAUUCAUUUACGAAUCAAUUCAAUUUCAUUUUUCAUCAAUAUACAAUUCAAUAUCAAUACUUAUCCAUCAUCAAUUCAAUUUCCUUUUCAAUUCCAUAAUAAUACUUGCUUCAUAAUUUACUUACUUUACCAUACAUAUAAUUAAAAUUUUAAUAUUUAAUAAAAAUAACUUAAAUUAUAGUAAUACAAACCCGGAUUUGUUCGAUUACUCAUUGACAACUUUUUCUUUUCCUUUCGGUGCCGAUGCCUUAGGUUCUUUGCUAGCUACGGAAAUUAAAAUAAUUAUACUAUUAAUUACAACAUUAAUUAUAAUAAAUAAUUAAAUUUCUAAUCAAUUUCUACCUUAUUCUCAAUUUAAUCCUAACUAAGUUUACUUACUUUCCUAAUUCAAUUCACUCUCUAUUUCUAUUCAAAUUUUAUCCAAACUCAAAUUUAACUAUUAAAUUUCCAGCUUAUUUUCCUAAUUUUGAAUUUUCCUCAAGUUAGUCCCUACAACAUAAAACUUAUAGCUUACUUCAUAAUUUAAUCCUUUUAUCAAUUCUAACUUGAAAUUCAUUUAAUUAAAUCCCUAAUUCAUCUUUUUGUUCAACAUAAACUAAACUUGAAAACCUAUGAACUUUUAAAAUAUCAACUUAAUUUCAAUAAAACCUUGUUUUAAAACUUUUAAAACAUCAAAUUUAAGAGAAAAUGACUUAGUUUAGCUUAACAAUUAAACUUGAAGCUUCCAAAUCCCAAUUCUCCCUUUUUCUUUUCUUUCCCCUUUCCUUUCUUUCUUUUUUUCUGUUUCUUCUUUCUCUCUUUUGUUUCCUUUUUAUUUUAUUAUAGUUUAUUUACUUUAUUUUAUUUGUUAGCUUAACAUAUAUUAUAUUUUUAUUCUAAAUAUCUAUUAAAUAUUCAAUCAUAUAUUCACAUUUGUACACCAUCAAUACCAUACAUUUGUCAUAUACUUAAUUUUCAAGUAAAUAAAUAAAUAUAAUACAAAUGUAUAUAUUCUUAUUGUUACAAUUGUCACUACUUAAUUUGUUUAUUAUACAAAAAUCUCACAAUUUAAUUAUUUAUCUCAUAAAUAUUUUUUUAAUAAUAAAUAUCUAUUUACUAAUUAAAUAAAAAUAUUACAAAUGUACAUACUUAAAUUAAUACACUUGUAUUUUAUCUUUACCAUACACUUGACAAAAUCAUAAUUUAUUAUCAACAAAAAAUCUUAUACUAAUUAUUUAAUUAUUAAAUAUCUUUUAAUUUGAUAAUAAUAGAUAAUAAAUAUCUUAUGCUUAAUUAAAAAGCAAAUUAAAUCUAUAAACUAUAAUUAUAUACAUAUUUUAAUUACACAUGUAUUAUUUUAUCACCAUCCAUUUGUCAAAAUCAUAACUUAUUUAUCAUAUAAAAAUCUUAUAAUAUAAUUAUUUUAAAUUAAUUUAAUACAAUUUAUAACUAAAAUAAUAUAUUUAUAAUUUAUAACUUGACAAAAAUCUUAGAUUUUUGUUUUAAUGUUUGCCGCCUCAUAUACCAAAUGUGGCUUAAUUACCCAUUUGAUCUUUUAUGAUUUCUUUUAAUCUAUAAUUCAACUUUUACACCUUAUUCUAUUUAGUCCUUUUUCCUAUUAUUCUUAAUUAGACUAAAUUCACCUAAUUAAAUCCUAAUUAAGCACUCAACUAAACUCAUAAUUACUUCUAAUAAUUAUUUAUGACUCGGUUUAUUAAGACGGAGGGCCUAUAACUCACUUUUGCGGUGCCUGUGAAUUUUGGGUCAUUACAACUUUAUACAAUGGAUGGAUGAGAUAAGGUACAUGUACUUACUAACAUCUCUAAAAAAUUGAGUCGAAUACGAGAAAUAACUUGCAUACGCAUCCUCAUUGGGGACUUGGGCUUGAAUGAUUAGUGACAUUUGUCAAAUUGUUAUCAAGACACACUCAGAUAGUACGUAGGUUAGAUAGGUUCGAUAUGCACUUGUUGAUGUCUCUAUUGACAAUUCAAUUGUAUGCAUUGUUGCCUAAACUGAGGAUGUUGUCCUUGUUGAAUAAGAAACAACAAACCAUAUAUCUUAAACCAAUCGUAAUAAUUCACUGAUGGUGCAAAAUUAUCACCCAUGAUCCAUGUGCCUUCAACAAUAAUGCUGAAGACUAACAUCCCAAAGGUUGAGCCACUCUCGAUGUGUAUUGAGCCAAUGUUACUCGUUCUCUCCAUACAAAUCAAUCUUACGUGGUUGUUUUUUGUUAUAGUGUGACAUCAAAUCUGUUGAGGCCAAUUUGAAAUUUUAUGCCCCCAUAGAUUUUGAGCCUCUUGGGGUAUAUGAAGGGAUGACAUAAACAGUCUCUGACACAUAUGGAUUUUAUUGUAGUUUAGGAUGGCCCAAGACAUUUAGAGAAGGCCAAGGAACCUUAAUAUGCUCUAUUAGUUUGACUUGUAUGGAAGGAAUGAGCAAUAUUGGCUCAGUAAUCCCCAAGAGCUACUCGACCAGUUGAACUGUAUUCUUCAAAAUAUUAUUGAGGGUGCAUGGAUCCUAAUAAUAAUUUUGCACCUUCAAUGGAUUAAUACAAUUGGUAUAUGAUCCAUGGACUACUGUAUCUUAUUUAACAAGGACAGUAUUCUCAAUUUAGGUAAUGACAUAUAUAAUCGAGUCGUUGACAAGGACAUCACCAAACGCAUGUUGAACUUACCAAACCUAAUACUUAACCCACAUACAUACCAUUCAAGUGCAACCUUAUAUCAAAUUGGCAAUAAAUUGAUCCUUCAGAUCUAGAUUUUUUCUUGGUGAUGACAAAUAUGCCAAAUGUUUCAAGUAUUUAGCUCGAUUUUACUCAAAUGCUAAUGAGCGUGGAGAGUUGGUACACACCUUAUCUCAUUCAUCCAUUAUAUCAUUAUUCACCAAUGGACCCCUUGUGUAUUUCUUAUUCUCUCACCUUCUUUAAAAUAACUAUAAGCUUUUUGACCCAAAAUGAAGAUUGAGGUGAGACUCAAAACCCAAUCUAACUUUCGUAGUAGUGGAAUCAAUUAUGUAACUGCAGAUAAUUGUGUCAUGGAACUCAUUUGCCCUUAUGCAACAAAUGAUUGUAUAUAUUUUUCUUAGAUUAAAUGUAUAUAAUAUGUUUUUAAUUAGAUUUUAUAUGAUCUAUUUAUUUAAUUCAAUUAACUUGAAUUUAUUCAACGUGUUAUAGCAAACAUUAGAAAGAAUUACCAAUAAAUUCAAAAAAAAAUUAUUAACAUAAUAUUAAAUUAUAUUACAUAACAUUAAAAAAAACAAAACAUAACACCAAACUAACCUUUUGUUUUAUUAAAAUAACGUUUAAAUUACAUCACAUUUUAUUUUUGAAACAACAAAUCUUCAAUUAAACCCUAAAACCUUUCAAUUAAACUUUAACCGAAACUAAUUUGUAAGAAUAAGCAAAGGUGCAAAUAGUAGAUGGUUAAAUUCAUGGUGAAGUAUGAUGCUUAUUUAAUUCUUAAAGGAUAAGACUGUACCAGCUUUGGUUUAAGUUAAAAUUGAAAGAUUAUAAGAUUUAAUCUAAAGGUUAGGGCUUAAGAGGCUUGGGGUGUGUUUUCAAUAUUAGGGGAAGGAGAAAUUAAGUUUUAGAGAUCAGAUCUGAAUAUUUAAUAAUGAUUAAAGAUGUUCAUGUGUUAGGUUGAGAUUAAGUUUAGAUCGAGUUUAAGCAUGAUAUUAGAUUAACAUACUUUAUAUUUAUCUAAAUUCGGCUUGAACUUAAAAUAUGAGCCUAAAACGAUGAUAAAACCUAAUCAUAUUUGUAAAUGAUUAAUUCAAGUGACUUUUAGACUUACCCAUAUUUUUGUUUAAUUUAUAAAAAAAUAUUUAUAUUAUUUUUAAUUUAAUAUUUAAUGAUUUAUAUACUUUCAUAAGCAUGUUAUAUAUUAAUUUCUACAUUAUAGUAUUAUAUAUUAUUAUUACAAAGAAGGAUCUUUUACAUUAUUUUGUAUUUUUUUGUAUGAUUAAUAUUUUAAUUAUCAAACACUUAUAUUUUAUAUUUUAUUCAUAUAAAUCAUUUAUGUCAAAUUUGAUAUAAAUUAGAAACUUCUAUCAUUCAAUAAAUAUUAAUAUAUAUAUAGCAUUUUAGAUUGAUAUGGUAAAGAUAAUAUAUUAGAUCGUUUCGAAAAUUUAUAUAUAUAACAAAUAUAAUUAUAUUGAUAAAUUUAAUUAUUAAAAUAUUAAUGAUAUAAAGAAAUAUUAAUUCACUUAUUAUAUAUAAUAUUUUAUAUUAUAAAUUUAAAAAUGAUUGAAUAUUUGAGCUAAAUCCCAACUUAUGUUUAGAUGAACUUAAUUUUUUCCCAAACUUAUUUUCGGGUUCUUUUACUCGAACCGUCUAAAAUUUCGAGUGGAAUUCCAAGGUUCGGCGCAACCCUUUACUAACCGUGCGUGCGGGCCGGUAUUAAACCGGUUCAGAGCUUAUAAUUAUAAAGCCGAAUGCAGGAUCUGAGAUGAGACCCGGACGGAGUGAAGAAGAGAGACAUAGAAAUGGCGGGUAGGGUUUUAUUUUCAGCUUCAGUGGGUCUCCGAAAAUCUCAUAGCCUCAUGAUUCUUUUCUCUAAUUCAAUCAUUUCCACCCCAAAUGCGUCCCUUCCCAAAGCCAGGUACCUCUCUUUGUAUUUGUUCUUUUAUGUCUUUUAGUGGAGUUGAAUCUGUUUUUGUUUUUCUUUGGCUAUGGAUUUAUUCUUUAAUAGUUUCUCAGCUGCCAUCAGUUUCCCAAUCCGGUAAUAGGGUUCUUUUCUUUGUUCCAAUGCCAUUCUGUUUGAAAAGAAAUGUGUUAAUUCACUGAAGCAAACCCACUUCUGUUUUUCUGUUCAUAUAAAAAAAGAGCUUGGCCGUCUUUGGCAAUUUGGGAUGAUUUUCAACAUGAAAUGGGUAAUCUUUGGGGCUCGUAUUUGAUGGGUUGCUUUCAUCUCCAUUGGAGUUACAGUUCAUGUUCACAAAACUUAAUGCAACAUUGAUCUUUUGAUUGUUGUAAAUAUAUGAUAUCUUAGAAGGUUUAGUGGGAAUUUGAUGUCCCUUAUAUUAUAAUCUUUAACAAAUUUAAUUGGAUUCAACUAAGAACCCUUUGGCUUUGGUUUCAUUGUAAAGCCUUAUUAGCUUUUACUCCUUUGCUUUCAUAGAAUGGAGAAUGGCUUCAUGAUGUCCAUUUUUCAAAUGAUCUUAUUGCCUUUAAUGUAUGGAUCCUGUUGUAUUUUUGUUAUAUGCUUUUUCCCCCUAGUUUUCAGAAGCCCAUUGUCUGUUUUCUGGGAAACAUACUGAUAAAACUUAUCAGAUAACCAGUUAGAUGGAAGCCUUCCAGGCUUUAGCCCUGCUGAAGAAUGUGUUUAAUAUAUCAUUUGCGCGUGUGUCCAUUUGUGUAUGUGCAUCUGAAAAUUUCACUAGAAAAGAAAGAAAUCCUGAAAAAAUUCGAAUGUACUAACUAUGCAGUAGUUUGGUUGAUGUUAUGUGCAAGGCUUUUGGUCCACAGCAAGCUUUUUCCCCAACCUAUGACAGAAAGAGGUUUCUGCUUGAGAGGCAUGUCUGGAUUCAUUCAGCUCCAUCUCUGAAUGCUUCUGAAAACGUUGUUGGGACAGUCAACCAUUCCGAGGGAGUUUCUAGCAUCAAGGAUGCUUAUAGUGGUAAUCUUAAGGCAAAGAGGAAGAAAUUAAAGGGUAAACGAGCUGUAGUAAGGUGGUUGAAAUUUUUCAGGUGGAAGAAGAAGAAAGAUUAUGAAAGAAUGACAGCUGAAGAAAAAAUUCUUUACAAACUUAGAAAGGUAUUCCCAGUUUUUCUUCUAAAAUGCUUGCAUAUUCAUUUGGUUGGUAAUUUCAAGCCACUACUCUCUCUCUCUCGUGAGAGAUCGAGCUUGAAGUUGGGUUUGCUUAGAUAGUCUUAUAUCAGCUAGUACCUAAAGGUUCUUCUGUUUUAAACUUUUUUCACGUGCAUUUUCUCCAAUUGUUCUUCAGGCUCGGAAGAAAGAAGAAAGACUUGCUACAGCAUUAAAUAAGAUUGAACCCACAGAAUCAUCGGAAACAACCCAUGAUCCAGAAAUAUUGACUCCAGAAGAGCACUUUUUCUUUUUGAAGAUGGGCCUCAAGUGCAAAAAUUAUGUGCCAGUAGGUAGACGGGGAAUUUACCAGGGUGUAAUUUUGAACAUGCACCUCCACUGGAAGAAACAUCAGACUUUGAAGGUGGUGGUUAAAACAUUCUCACCGGAGGAAGUCAAGGAGAUUGCUGCUGAGCUAGCAAGAUUGACAGGUGGGAUUGUGCUCGACAUUCAUGAAGAUAAUACAAUAAUUAUGUACAGAGGAAAGAAUUAUUCUCAGCCACCAACAGAGAUUAUGUCACCCCGGGUCACACUUUCUAGAAAGAAGGUUUUCUUCUCUCCUUAUCUUUGCUUCGUUCUGUUUUUCACCCUAGUAUUGAGAAUCUAAAGAAUCCUGGAUCACUAGCAUACAAUUUACAAACAGUUCCUUAAUAUGAGACUCUUCUAAUUUCUCCCGUAAAGAAAACAUGUGAUGGUUGUCACCCUAGUCACUUUGUACUAAUUUCCAUAUCUUGGAAAAGUGUUCUCUUGUUUGAGAUCAUUUUCGUAUCUCCGCUAUAUGGUUUAACCCCAGCAUUGUGAAUGUUCUCUUAAUACAAGAUCAAGCAUGUUACUAUUUAAGCUCCCAUUUGGUUGAUUGCCAGCAGAGAGGUUGUGAUGUCUUUGAUUUCCAUAUUUGAUUGUUUAAAUUUGCCUCUGUUCAUUCCUGCUGUACAGGCUCUGGAUAAAUCCAAAUAUAGGGAUGGCCUUAGAGCUGUUAGGAAGUACAUCCCAAAGCUUGAGCAGGAUCUCGAGUUGCUACGUGCUCAAGCUGCAAACAACUUCAAUCCUGUGGAACAUGUGCCGAACGCUGAUGAUCAGAAUGUGGGUUCUGGGAAGAGUUCAAGCACGCCACUGGAGGGUUCAAAUAAAUUGAAAGAAUUUUUGGAUGAGAGCAAGGAACUUACAGAAAAUGAAUCCAAAACAGAUUUGCUUUUGGCUUCUGAAUCUGAGGACCUGUCAGAUAUUUUUGAGACUGAGUCUGACGCAGAGACAGAGGAGAGGGAAGAACAACCACUUUUUCUGGAUGAAUUUGAGAAAUUUCCAGUAGAAAGUGAUGGAGAACCCGAAGAUUUUGAGGAGCACUUACGCCAAAUAACAAUGGGCUCUAAAGUGCCUGUGACAUCUGAGGAAGAUGUUAACUCUCCAAACUUUGAUGAGGUAGAUCGGAUAUUUUUACGUGCUGCUUCACUCCUAAAGAAAAAGAGGAGUUAGGAAGAUUCGUGAUUAGUGUAAUUCUCAAAAUAGAUGUUGCAUAUGUACAUUUACUCUUGCUUCCCCUGUUGAGGCUUGACUGCAUAGACAGCACUUAAUGCAUGGAAAAGUUGCAAUGCGACAUUUUUCGGUAGAAAGAGAUGUGCAUGUGCGACAUUUUUCUAGCAGGCAGAACGUGUAAAAGCAUGUCAAAUUUCUCAACCUCAAGUUUCUCGUUGCUAUUGUAUACCCGUCUCUUCAAAUUGCCAUGUAUUGAUAUUAUCUAGGUUCAGAGAAAGCAACUUAAUAUUUUCCUUCAUAAUUGUACAAACACUUGGUUCUGAUAUAAUUUCGUUCAGAAGGUUUAUGAAUUUACAAUUUGCUUGAAAGAAAGAAUCCAUUAUAGGAAGAAAACAUUAAGGACCAUUUACUUAGUCUCUUACUUGAGCAUGCCUACAGUUCUAUUCCUACUUGAUUAGGUACGAAACCUGAAAGAGUGAUGGCUCGCCAAUCUCGAUCCUUACUUUUCCAUCAACUCAUUUAUACCGAUGUAAUAUCAUGAACCAGUAAAAGCUAAUCUUAUAUGCACCUUGAUUUGCAAUUAUACGGCUGAUCAAAUUAUUCUGUGAUUAUGCUCCUUUGCAAAUCUGGUAACAGCCCCUUUAACCCCAUCCCUUGGAGCCAGUGAUAGGUGGGGGAGGAAGAACCUUGUGUUUUCUAUACAUUGAAUCUUUACAAAUUUGGUAACAAACCCUUUAAUCCCAUCCCUUGAACGUCAAUUGUGGUGGAUUCGCACUUUAAAACCAAUGCGUCUGCCAUGAACAACGUAAAAUUCCUUUGCGUCAUCUCUUGACUUGAACUUUCUAUGCCUAUAUACGAUUCCACAGCAUUGGCAAACAAAGGCAAACUCUCGCCAGACUCUUCUAUGAUCUUGCCAACUUCUCCCAAGCAUAUAUCAAUGUUGUCUGAAAGCUCGUGACCAGCCAGUUCCUGCUCAUCAAAAUUUACUGAAUCUAUCCCUUUGAUUAGAUUUUCUCUCCAUUAUGCUCUUUUUUCUACAAAAUAUUUUAUCUUAUGAGAAAGCUGCCGGCAAGCGAAACUGAAAUAACUUUAUUCUUCCUAUUUGUACAGAAAUUUUGAAUCUGACUGAAACUGAAAAGAAAAAUAAAAAGAUAAAUGAGAUAUAAGAAGAAAAAGAAGAAGAAUGAUGGAAAGUUUAGCGACUAUGAAUACAUUCAAACAAUAAGCAACUACAUAAGCGACAUCAUGAACCCUUUAAACCCUCACCGGAUAAUCACUAUAUACAAAAUAGUGUCGACUACCAAGGGUCUCUAAUCAUCUCAAGAACAAAGCAAUUAUGUGAAAAUUUAACUCCUUUCACUCAUAAUAAUAUUAAUUUUACUCAUUUUAAAUAUUUUAAUAACUAUUAACGAUUUGAGUUUUGAUCAAGUUUCGUGUUGUUCCUCCACCCCAUACUUGAAGGUGGCAUACUAACAAUAUGAACUUGACCAAAUCUUCCUCGAUUAGCUUUAGUCUAUCAUUUUUAUCUCAUUUUUAAAAUUUAAAUUUAUUUUAUUCUUUAAAUGAUUUUUGUUACCUUUUUGUUGUUAUUUGAAUAAAUGACAUCAUCUUAUUUAAUUUUUUAUUUGUAUAAAUUCAGUUUGUAAUUUUCUUUUUCAUCCUUUCCAAAACCUUAUAAAUAACUAAUGUUCAAAUCAACUCGCAAAGCCUAACUCAAUAUUGAGGUUCUACUACUUAAUUUAUUGUACGGAGAAAAAUGAUCUAAUUAGUCCUUUCCAAAAUGAAAUAUGUUAAGUAAGAGCUUUCUCAAGUCUAGCAAAAUACAAAACUUAGAAAAGUCAUUAAUUUGAACCACUUAAUGACACAGUUCACCAUCAUUCAGGCAUUUAAUCAAUCAAAUUUUUCAUCUUAGAUCGAGGUUUCCACACUUUAGGGCCCAAUUUAGUCACUUGAUUUGCUAGGCUUAGGAACAAGGUUAGAAGAACUUGUCAGGUUCACAUGGAGGAGGCAUCUGAAAGGUGCAAGAGACAGAUUAUUUGAUGCCCAAAAAAGACUCUAAAAGCCUCUAAGAGGCUCUCCACCGCCUUACUGUAGCUAAAUUACCUUAGCGUAGAUAUUUCAAACUAGAAUUGAUCUUGAUCGUCCGUUUAGAUAAAUAUUGGCUAUUGGGUGUAACGGGUAGCAACAAUAAAUAGGGAUCACCUCAACCCUUAAUUUACGCAGCAAGGAAAAACUUGAUAUUGAAACUACCAGUCUCUUACACUCGUAGAUUUCAAGCUUCUGCAAGGAUUGAAGGAUGAUUGGCAACCUUCCCAGCAAUAGAGGACAUUCUCUGAUUGAAAGAAAACGAAGGCUGGGGAAUUUCAAUACUUGCUCAUCAUCUUCACAUAGGUCCCACUCCUUCCAAUUCAGCAUAUUGCCAAAACGCAGAGACUCUAAUGAUGCCAUAUUGCUUAUUAUUUUUCAUGCAAGCUUACUAAGCAUAAAGCUUACUCCCUCCAUUCCAUUUCUUUUAGUGUUGUCAGGUCGGCUCGAGGUUGGAGAUCAUCGGAGGCAGCAUCACACUAUCAAGAUAUCACCUUCGAAAAGUUAACAUGUAUAAGUUAAGCGUACACAAGUGAGUGGCAUGUAUAAGGACUUGGUUUUUAUGUUAGAUGUUGUUAUGAUUAGCCCCCUCUUGUACAUAGUAGGGCACUGUAUCUUUGUUCUUCUUUUUCUAUUGCACAAAAUUUAAUUUGAUAAUAUUUCAACUCUCAUUUAGGCUGAAUUUAGCCACACCAAUUGUUAGUUGUUUAAACCUAACGAUGUAUCUAGCUAAACUAUAGUUUCCGACACAUGAAAUUAACUUAGCCUCAAUUGAUUCAUGUAAUUACUUUUUAAAGUUAACAUUUAAAAAAUUUUCAAAUUUUAAAACUUAAGCUCAUAAGUCGAAUAAUCGGUUAUAAUUCGAGUAUGCAAAAGUAUAUAAAUAAUCUUUAAAACUACUAAUUCUUAUACCAAAUAAAUUAAAAUUUACCUAUUGCCAUAAAAGGUUUUCAUUUUUAAUGUUUCCCUACCCUACAUCUAUAACACCCCUAACCCUUAUCCGUUGUCGGAAUAGGGUUUCAGAGUAUUACCGAAACAUUCAGAAUAAUUUUUCAAUUAAUUUACGUAAAUUACUAUUCGUUUACCGAUAUCAUACAUGUCGUCCUUUAUAUGGACCCUCGAGGCUUAAAACAAGUGUUGGAAUCAAAUCGGGACUAAAUCGGGGACUUAGGAAAUUUUUGCGAAAUUCCAAAAAUUUUCCUAGGUGCAGGGCUCACACGCCCAUGUGGUCAGGCCGUGUACUACACACGCCCGUGUCCCUAACCCGUGUAACUCUCUGACUUUUAAAGCAUGAAGAAAUUGAAGGGCGUGUGACUUGGCUGUGUGGCAAAUUUUUAUUUUCGAAAUUUAGGUGUAGUUUUCACACGGCCGUGUAACAUGCCCGUGUCCAAGGCCAUGUCACCCACAUGGCUGAGACACACGCCCGUGUCUCUGCCCAUGUGCCCAAGUCUGGGCAUUUUGUUUCUCAUUUUUAAGAUGCAAGGGACACACGACCGGACCACAUGCCCAUGGGACACACGGCUAAGACACACGCCCAUGUGGACAAAAUAAGGCCAUUUCCUUGCCUCAUUUGUCACCCAAAACCUACCAUUUUCCUACACUAAAACUCACAAACAUAUAUCCACCAAUCCAACAUCAUAUUCACAAGAAAAUUUGACAUCAAUCAUAGAGUAUUAUCUCAUGCAUCAAUAGAUAUAAACUUACUCAUGUCAUAAACUCGUAUGCUAACACAAUUUCAUCAAACCAACACAUAAUAAGCACUUAUGUGAUUAUCAAAACACCACUUUAAAAUAGCCAAACUUAGACCAUCAUUAGUCACUCCAAUGGUUAGGUUACAAAACAACCAUUACAAGCCUUCAUUGGCCAACUAAGCUUAUACAUGCCAUUAUACCAAAAUGAGAUUUCUAUUUAUACCAAAAUGAGAUAGUGGAUAGUGUGAUGACUGCUCCGACCGACUUCCAACCUUCGCGAGCUUUGAGCAUUAUAAAAUAGGGAAAAAUAAACGGAGUAAGCAUUUUAUGCUUAGUAAGCCCAUAUAACGGGAAAUAAACUUAUCGGUCUUAUUUAUUAACACAAGCACACAUAAAUACAUAUUCCAUCAAUUUUGGGUAAGUUACCUAAACACAUACACUUAUUCAAACAAGUUAGUCACAUAAUCUCAUAUGAAUAUGAAAUAAACAUAGAUGAGCUCAUCAGAUUACAAGCUUCCAUUAAUUUCACCUUUGUGCUCUUCAAGAGUCUUUUCCGUCGAACUAUUGAAAUUUUGAUGGAUGUUCGGGUAAUAUACACAUGUGCAAAAAUACCCAUUGGGUACAUAAUGAAAAGGCACACCCUUGAGUCGUACAUUUUAUCGUAGGAUUACCAGUCCAAGCUAAAUCCUAUCCGUAGCAUAUGCUCUAAAGAGCUUAAUAUGGAUUAACCGUCCGAGUUAAAUCCAAUUUAUAACCUAACUCAAGAGGGCUUACACUAGAAUUACCCGUCUAGGCUAAAUUCUAUUUGUAACAUAUGCGCUAUUAUUUUCAACCCAUCAAAAUUCAACAUUCGACCGGAACACGAUAGUUUGUCCAUAUUACACAACUUAAAACUAUUUCAUCAUGUAUAUAUAUCAUCUCACACAUAACAACACAAUCAUACAAUUCAAUUCAAGCAUAUUAACAUACAUUUUUAAGUUACACGAACUUACCUUGAAAAUGGUUCGUUUUUGAAUUUUAACUAAUCUGAAACCUUUUGUUUCCUCAAUCUAGUUCCGUAGUUGGUCUUUCUAGAUCUAUAUGGAUAAAUUUAACUAUUAAUCUAUCACAUUUCAUAUAAAUUUGCAUUCUAUUGUAUCCUAGGAAAAAUUACCAUUUUGCCCCUAUCCUUUUCAAAAAUUUUGAUUUCGUCCCUAGGCUCGGAAAAUAAAAUUCAUGAAAUUUAACCCUCUUUCCAAGCCUAGUUGAAAUCUAUAAACAACAUUUACAACACACAUUUUUCACAAAUUUCAGAAUUUUUCAUGGGUUUUUACCAUUUUUCAUUUUAGUCCCUAAAUCAAGUUUUCAUCAAAAAUUGUUUUGUAAAACUUGUUUAUCUAUGAAUAACUUUUUUAUUUUCUACCAUAAAUUUCUAAUUUUCAGCAUAUUCAUCCAUGACCCAAAUUUCAUACCUUGAUAACUUUUCAAAUUAAUCCCCUAAAUAGAGAGAUUAGACUAUCCCAGUUUCAAAAAUAUAAAAAUCAUUAAAAACGAGACUUGAUUUCAUACCUUUUCAAACUUGGUAAGUUGUCUUCCUCUCUCCUAAGGUUUCCAUAGAAAUUUUGGGGAAGAUGAUAUGAAAUUAGAUGAAUAUUUCUUUUUAUUUAAUUUCCAUCUUUUAAUUUUAGUGAUUUUUAAUUUAGUCCUUUGCCUUUUCUAAUUUUUCCAUGGAUAGUCAUUAAAAUAUCUACUAACUACUCUUCAAUGGUCUAAUUACCAUAUAAGGACCUUAAGUGUUGGAUUUCAUAUCUAUUUGAUAGAUAUAGCUACUAGAAUCUAACUUUUUCAUUUUAUGCAAUUUAGUCCUUCACCUAACUAACCACACAAUCGAUAAAAUUUUCGUAUCAAAUUUUUCAUAUGACCUUCCUAUCAUGAUGCCAAUCAUAAAAUAAAAUAAAAUUAUUUUUUUAUUUUUAACUUGAAUUUGUGGUCUCGAAACCACUAUUCCGACCUCACCAAAAUUAGGUUGUUACAACAUCUUUUUUAAAAAAUAAGUUGAGAGAUACCAAUAACUAUCUGAAAAUAAAUUAAGAGUAAAUCAUUAAAUUUAAUAAAAUAAAAUAUUAUUAUAAAACAAUCUUAAAUUAAUUCAUAAAUUAAUUAUUUUCAAUAACUGUAUAAAUUAAUUUCAAAAUUAUUUUUUUAAUUUGAUUUUAAACUUAGAUUCAAUUAAAUUAAUUAAAUACAUUUGAUUCCACUAACCGAGAUAGUAUUUACUUGUCUGUAAUCAUAUUAUAUUUGUGAUAUAAUAUUUUUAAAAAAAAUGGCAAUAUAAUAGAAUAACUAAAGUCGAAAGUUUUAUUUCUUAUUGUACAAUUUUACAUUUUUUUAUUUUAUUUAUUCUCAAUAAAUCAUUUAUUUUAAUCGCUACCUCCUUAUAGAAAUGAAUUAGAUAAAUUCAAUCACUUAUAUAGAUAGAUAUUAUAUUUAUUAUAUAGAUAGAUAUCAUAAAUAGAAAUUAAAUGAUAUUAAUAAUAAAAAGAUAUCGAAAAUUAUGCAUUUAUAUGUUUUUUUUUUCUUCUAAAAAUUGGAUUUGGUAGAGAGAAAAUAUUUUCCUCACAUGUUUUAUUUUUUUUUCCCUAAAAAUAGUAAAUGUUUUGAUGAAGCCAAAUAAAUUAUUUUGUCAUAUUUUAAUAAAUCAACUAAAUUUGUCUUUGAAACAAUUCAUUGCAUUGAUAUUUAUCAAAUCUAAUAUCAAAAACCUUAUUUUACUUUCUAGAAUUUAGAGUUGUCAUUCUAAAAGUUUUGAAAGGCGCUUAUUGGUGGUAUCUACAAUUAAUCAAAUCAAAUAAAUGAUUUUUUUUUAAUAUUUUGAUAAGCCAAUUGUGAUUGGCUUUAAAACAAUUUAUUGCAUUGAUAUGUGUCACAUCUAAUAUCAAAAAUCUCAUUUUACUAAGAUUUUCAAAUGACACCUAUUGGUGGUACAUAUAAGAUUCGAGACAAUUAUCAUAUUUGAUAUUUAUCAAAUCCAAUAUCAAAAACCUCACCUUCUAUAACUUAGAAUUCUCGUUACUGAGAGUUUUGAACGACUCCUGUUGAUUGUACCUGUAAGACUCAGGACAAGUAUUAGCAUAAGGUAUAUGAAUAAUUAUGAAGUUUGUUGAGUGUGGUGUGACUCGAACCACUAAACAAGACUUAUAGCCCACCGACCUACAAAUAUGGUAUCACAUAGGCUAAGUGGUACUAUGCUUGCAAGUAAAUUAUUUUUAAGCGUUGGUUGGUGGUUCGAAUCCCCUCACAUCUACUCUUCAUAAUAAUUAUCAGCCCCUUCCUCUCACUCUCAAGCAAAAGACUUGUCAAAGCCUCAAAUCCCAACAUUUACAGUGUUCAUGUAUUUUACAUUUUAAGGCAAACAAUAACAAUAUACAUAUUUUUGUUUUAGUCAUUUUUAUUUUAAUUACUAACGUUAUUGAAAUUUAAUACUCCUUCAUUAAAACAUUAACGAUGUUAGUUUUUUAUUGGCAUAAUAAUAAAUUUAGCUCUUCAAUGUUUACAGAUUCUCAAUUUAGUCUAAAUCUAAAAAAAUUAAUAAAUUUAGUCCUCAACUUUAUACAUUCUGUCAACUUAGUAUUGAUUCUUUAAAAAAAACAUUUUAAAAAAAUUAAAAAUUUAUUUUUCGAGAAUAAUACAUUAGAUUUAAUAAAAAUAAUUACAAAAAAUAUAUAAUUAUAAAUAAAUGAAUAUUUAUUUUUCUUAUUUUCUAACAUGAAAUUUAUUUAUUAGAUACUAAUUUUAUAAAUAAAAAAAUUUAAGUGGGGAACCAUGAAGAAGAUUUACGCUGAUUCAAUUUUUCUCUUUCCUAACAUUAACAGCCAUUAUGUUUAGGUUGGGUUAAAAAUUGCAACAUUAGGUCGAAAAGAGUGAUAAUCGAUGUCUUUAAGUUUUUGCCCAAAAUGAGUUUAUUACAUUUGAGGUUGUGCUUAAAGGCGGACAUGAUUGGGGACAUGAUCGAGGAGUCUAGAGUUAGGGUUAUUGAUGUAGGCGGUUGUGGACGAAGGUGGUGCCUAGUGCUUGAAAAAUUUGAUGAGGAAUGUAUAAUGAAAUUUAUUAUUUAUAAAAUAAAUUAAAAAAAAGGAAAAGUUUGCAUAUUAUUUAAGUUUUGUUUGUGGUUUUUUUAAAUAUAUAUUAUUUAUUAAAGCAUUAUUUUAAUAAAUAAUUUUCAUGUCAAAAAAAUGUAGUCAUUUAUUUAUAAUUUGUAUAUAUUUUUAUUAAAUCCUAUGUAUUUUAUCAAAAAAUAAAUAUUUUUAUUUUUAAAUAUUUUUGAAUUUUUAAAAAGUAAAACUGAAUUGACAAAAUGUAUAUAUUUGAGGACUAAAUUUGUUGAAUUCUCUAGAAUUGAGAAUAAAUUGAUAAAAUCCGUAAACAUUGAAGGGUUAAAUUUGUUAUUAUAUCAAUAAAAAAAGGUCAUCGCUAGUAAUUUGACGGAGGAAUGACCAAAGUAUUAAAUUUUGAUAAUGUUAAUAAUUAAAAUAAAAAUUUUUAAACAUGAGUGAUCAAAAUAGAAACACACUAAUAAUCGGUUGACUAUUUUUACAGUUUACCCUACAUUUUAUCCAUAGUUAUAGAUUUUCCUUUUUUUUUUUUAUAUUUACGAAUUAACCUUAAAAGGAAUGUUACAUUAUUAAAAAAGUUAAUAUAUUUUAGCAUAUCAAACAUAAUCACUCUCCCAUCAAUAUAAAAGUCUUAAAACAUUAUACUACCUUUUAAAAUUUUACGUUUAAAAUUUAACUUUUGUUUAGGAUAGGAUGAAAUAUUUAAAAAUUAAUGAUAAAAUAUAGAAUAUAUAUUUUUUAUAAUUUAAAAUCUAUAUUUAUCAAACAAUCUAAUUAUAUUUUAUAAUUAACUUUAAGUAAUAUAUCAAACAAAUUUUAUCACAUAAUUUUCAAUAUUUAAUCUUACCACACUUAUUUUUUCACCAUUUUACUUUUCAAUUUAUCAAACCUAAUAUUCCAUAGAAUAUAAAAAAAAAAAAAAAAAAAAACCAGCGCACCUAAUAUGUUCUUCUUCUAAGCCUUUAACGGUAUAAUUCUAAUUUCCUACUUUCUGGUCACAUCUAUCCAAAUUUUAGGUCAGUUGCACGACCAAACAAGUCACCAUAUAGAUAUAAACAAAGAUGAUGAACAAUAUAUACAAGCAAAGAUCAAAAUUUGUUAUUAAUCCCUGUAUGAGUUUUAAAUUUAAUUUUUAUAUUUUAAUUUGAUUAUUUUUUUAUUUUUUUAUUUUUAAAAUUUUAAAAUUUUAAUUCUAAUCAAACAAUUGUAGUUAAAUUCCUAUGUGGCAACCAUAUGAUCACAUAUGUAAUACCAUAUCACUUUGCUAUUUGCACAUAAGACUCUAAAAGACCACGCCAUUUUGAUUACUUAAUUUAAUGGCUACUAUUUGGGUCAAAGUUAAAAUUUGAAAAUUUGAAAAAUAUAAUGACUAAAAAUGAUCAAAUUGAAAAACAUGGACUAAAUCAUCAACUUACACAUAGUACAAGACUAGCAACAAAAUUUGACCUAACAUAUUUAACUUGUACCAUUUUGGUCGAAAUUGAAAUUUUAAAAUUUAACUAAUUCGAAAAAUACAUCAAUUAAAAUAGAAAAAUCACAAAAUAUAGGGACUAAUAGCGAAAUUUGACAAAAACAAGGUGCUAGAACAAGCAAAUCGUGAAAACCCAAGUUUUUGUUAAGAAAAGCAUUCUUGAGUGAAAAUAGAUGUACAUAGAUCAACAUAAGAAGCAUGUAUGACCCUUUCUUUUAUAUUCAUCACAAUGAUGUUGAUGUAUGACUUGAACACUACUGUAGCAACCCUCAAAAACCAUAUGAAAUUUGGGAUUAAAAUGUCCAUAUCCCGACCAUCACCACAAAAUAUUAUAUAUAGAAAUUGGAUGAAGUAAUAGCAAAGUUAGGAAGCCUCGUACAUUGCAAUUUGCAGCUACUCUUAAGUUGUCAAGGCAAGAUAAUCAUUUCUUACAAGAUAUAUAAAACACAAAAUCAUAAGUUACUAAGCAGCUAAGUUUAGGGUUCUUCAUCAACCAUGAAUUUCAACUUCUAUGGCUAUCUAUUCAUUCAAAUCCAAUAUGAGAGUGGUGAAAUUAGCCCAACCAUUGAGAAUUAACGGAAGUAAAACUAAUCAUUGGAUCCUUGAAUUCUCAAUUUAACUCAAUCAAAAAUAAAACGAAAACAAAAACAAGCAACCCACGAUUUUUUUUACAAUAUUUGUUUACCAAGGCUAAGUGAAGUUUACAGCCACCGAUUUGUUUUAAAUGAUUCAAUGCAAGAAAGCAUAAACAGCAGUGGAAAUGUAAACCAAGAGAGCAGAAGAAACCAGAAUGACUAAAGCCGCCGUGGCAUGAAUGGAGGACUGGCUGCCGCAAGACAACAACCCCAGCCGGAUCUCGAUCACGUUCACCAUCGAAAGCAUCAGAAACAAGCACCCCAUGACGGACCCGACGGCGGAGCCCAUCAUCCCAAACCUCAAUACUUUAAGGUUAAUGUGUGCCCUGAAAGCUUCAUCCACAUCUUUGCUGUUCAACAAAUUGAUGGCGAGCUUUAGACCCUGAGCCACCAGGGAGGAGAAAAGGAAGAAGCUGAAGGAGACGACCUCGAAGACCAAGAGCUUUUUAGCUACGUCAAUGCCGGCGUCGCAGGGGGCUCGGUUCUCGAGACUGUGUUGGCCCGGAGUGGCCAAAGAGAGGCCCACAAAGACAGCGAUGGUGAAGAGGGAAUUGACGUUGACGAGGCCAUCCAAGGCGGUAACGUGAACGCUCGUCGUUGAUGAAGAAGAUGAGGAUGUUGAAGUCAGUCUCCUGGGGUUGCCGUUGCUGGUGUAGUACUCCUUUGGGUACUCCCCAGAUCUGAGAAACAAAUGAAAAUUUCCAAUGUUAAAAAGGAAAAAACCCAAAGUGUCUUAAUCAAAAAAAGAAAAGAAAAGAAAGAAACUUUACUCGUCCAUUAUUGAAACUUGCAAGCUUUGAUGGUGUUUCUUGAAGGGCAAUGCUUCCAGGAACAGAAGAGGAAAGUUAAGAGUAGCUACUUUUUCUAUUAUUAUUUGAUUGGGGAUUUUAUAUAGGAUUUUUGCAGUAGGUAAGGGAAUUAGUUGAAAUAAAGUAAGAAACUUUGACAUGGGAAAAAACUGUGAGUUUGUUUCAACUUUUGAUUAAAACAAAACAUCAUCAAAUCAAAUCAUAGUCUUUGAGGAUAAAGUGGAAUGACAGUAAGGCCCCUGUUGCCAAUGCUUUUGCUGGGUCAAAUAAUGCUAUUCCUACCUUUAUUAUGCAUACUUUAAUUUAGUAAUUUUGAUGUUUGUAUUUUUUUAAAAUUUUGAAAAUUUAAUAUUAAAAAUAAAAUAAUUAAAUAAUUUUUUUAAAGUUUUAUAUAGAAAAUAAUAUGUAUAAUGUCAUAUUUGCUUGUUAUUUUUACAUAAUACUAAAAAAAAUAUUUGAAUCAGAUCGAAUCAACUAGAUCGAGAAUUGAUUGGUAUACCAGUUUGAAUAUAGGGAUUGAACUAACAUCUAAGCAAAUUGCUUGAAACCUGUAAAAAAAAAUCAACGGGUUGAACUAGUUUUACAAAUUUUUAAAUACCUUUAUUAUUUUUUGAAUUGUAUGUUUAUUUAUUGUUGGACCAAUAGUCAAACUGGAAAUCGAUGGUUUAACUAGUUUGACCACUAGUUCAAUUAUUGAAAUACUACAAAAAAGUCGCAUUAUUUUAGUUAAUAGAUUUAAUCGACACUGUUUAAGUUUAAACUGAAAUUUUAAAUUUUAAAAAGUAUAGAUACUAAUUAAAUUGAAAAAUAUAUACUAAACCCAUUACUUAAGAGUGGUACGAAAUUAAAAGCAGGAUUUAGCCUGUCAUAUUUAAUUGAUAAAGUUGAAUUAAAAUCAAAGUUUCAAAUUUUGAAAAUUAUAAAAAUUAAAAUUGAUUAAAUUAAAAUACAUGCAUUAAAUCCACAACUCGUAUAGAACUAACAGCUAAAUUUUAGCUUAUGGGGUCAAAUUCAUGUUUGUUAAGGCCUAAUUUUGGGUACUAAAAAAUGUUGUGGUAUAGGAAAUUGCAUAAAUUUCAUGGCUGCUUUAGGCAAAUUGGAGAGAUGCAGCAAUGCGUGAAGUCACAUUCCAACUGAUAAACCAAAGAGCUGGCCAUGAUUGUUGUUGAGUCAUGCAGAUAAGUUAUUUUAUAACUAGAAAAUCUAAAACUGUUGGCAACCUUUUUCAGGAAUAUGGCUGAUUAUUAUCAUUAGUAUCUUUUUUAUCAUUAUUAUUAUUAUUGAAAAAGAAAAAAAAAAGUUUCGAUCAGAUAAAGCUUUCAUCAAGGAAGAAAACUUUAUGAGGGUUAGAAAUAAAUUACAAUUAUUUAGAGGGGUCAAAAUAUAAUUUUCCUCAUUAUAAUUACUUACAACUUUAUAAUUUAUGGAAGGACUAAACUUAAAUUUCAUUAUUUUUUUAAUUAAAUUAUAAAAUUUUUGAAAGGUUACAAAUUUACAUAUUUUCAUCCUUUUGGUGCGGUCCAUCUGAUCAAAGGAUGUUUGUUUAAUUAUAAGUUCAAAAUUCCACAAAGAGGAAAGAUUACCCAAUAAGGAUGCAAAUGCAUGUCCAAGUCAAGUUAUUAUUUAUAAUCUUAUAUGUAUUAUGCGUUUUUGAGGGAAAAUAUCCACUGAGUGCUUGAAUUUGGAAAAUAGGACAUGAAAACUACAUCAAAUUGGCAACGUAAAAAGAUGGAAUACGCUUAUAGUUAGCUCACAGAAGGAUGUCUUGGUGACUUUAAAUAAGACUGAUGAACGAAUAUUUCAUAGUUUAGUUAUACACAAAAAAGAAACUUUGUAGAAGGGUUUUAUCAUUGCAUCCAUGGAUGAAAAUAAAAGUGAGUUGUGAGCUUCACAUGGUUUUAUGACUAAUCUGCUUCUGGGCCAGAAUUGUACCCUGACGAUGCUUCCCGCAAGACAUUCCUUCAAGCCUUUUGUCUUCUUUCUAGCUACUUCAUCUUUGUUACAAAAGCAAUCUAUGACUGAUUACUGACAGAUCAAGACCUCAACGAUGGAAAUUACCGAUUAGAUUAAUGAAUCCCACAUGCUUGGCAAAUGCAUUGUUGUAAAUCACGGCAACCUCCUCGGAUUAGAAUUCUAUCAAUAUAAGGUUUGAAAUUGCCAUAUACUUUAUGUUCCAUCAACCGUCUUCCAUCAUAGAAGUCAAGCGUUUCUCCGGUUUCCACCUUCACCUGAGCAACCAUCCUUUUCCAACAGAACUUUCUAUAACCUUUCUAUCUAACACCACAUAAGACAUGUUAUUUACAGAUUACUUGUAUAUGUCAUAAGCUUCCUCUGUUCAAAAGAGUUCCUACAGAGGAAUAACAAUGAAAAUGUUACAAGCAAUGCUGGCCGAACCGUAGCUUUACUCAAUCUUCAUGCUUGGAUCUUCAUUCUUAAUCACCAGUAAUCUCCACAAGAGCAAUUCCCAUUCUCAAAAUGGUGGAAUCUUUUGCGAUCCCUUACCACAAUUUUCCUUCCAGUAAUCUUAGCAAUGAGCUUGAUCAUUGAGUGACAAUCAUCACAAACCCUCAAGUUUUUUACAACCCUUAUUGUAGUACAUGGUUUAGUAGAAAUUAGACCAUAGCAUAUAGCAAGCCUCUCGCUGUGUAUUGCUAAAGACUGCUCUUUCUCCCAGUCUUCAAUAUCAUGCAAAACAGCAUCUGUUGCUGGAAUAUGUCCUGCUUCUUUUAAUACUUGGUUCAACUCCUCUAACUUGUUAUAUAUUUUUUCCUUUUGAGGGUGCCUUAGGUCUCCCAGAAGAAACUCGUGUAUCUCAUUGUUCACUUCAAUGGAGCUACAACCUGGUUCUUUUUGGAUUCCACCCUCCUUCAUCUUUGCCCUUAUUUGAGCUGCUUCUUUCCAUUUCCCUGAUGAAGCAUAGAUAUUUGCCAGCAGAACGUAAGUACCCGAAUCUACCACUCCAUGAUUCAUUAAAAUUCUCGCAACUUGUUCGCCUAAUUCAAAGUUUCCAUGAAUCUUACAAGCACUCAGCAAGGACCCCAACAUGACAUGAUCAGGUGCUAUUUCCAUAUUCUGAAUGAAAUUAUAAGCUUCUUUUAGAUGACCUACACGACCAAGAAGGUCAACAAUACAUCCAUAGUGCUCUAUCUGUGGUGGAAUCCCAUAAUCUCUACUCAUAGAAUGGAACAUCUCAAACCCCAAAUCCACCAAACCUCCAUGGCUACAGGCAUUCAAAAUAGCAACAAAAGUAACACUAGUUGGCAAAAGCCCCUGCUUAAUCAUUCCUCGAAAAAUCUCAAUUGCUUGAAUACUCUUCCCAUGCAUAGCAAGCCCUGAAAUCAUUAAAUUGUACGUAAUCACAUUUCUCUCUUUCAUCAUUGCAAAAAUACGUUCAGCCUCAUCGAUAUCACCACACCUCGAAUACAUACUGAUCAGUGCACCGCCAACAAAAUGAUUAAGCUCAAUCCUAUGGUGUUUUCCAAUGUACGAAUGAACCCAUCUUCCAAGCUCUAACGCUCCCAAUUGCGAGCACGCUGACAAAACACAAACAAUAGUAACUUCAUUAGGACUCAUAUUCUCCUUUUGCAUUUCCCUAAACAUCUCCAAAGCCAUGUUCAUCUCCCCAUUCCUCACCAACCCAUCAAUCAUCGCGGUCCAGCAAACAGUAUCCUUAACCCUUACCCGAUCAAAAACCUCAAUAGCCUGCUCUACCAAUCCAUGGUCAAGAAAACAAUUGAUCAUGAUCGUUGAGGCAACAACAUCUCUUUCCGUCAUUUUAUCAAACAAUUUCCUUGCAUCAUCAAAUUCCCCACACUUCCCAUAAAACUCCAUCAGCUUCAUGGUUAUCGAUCUAUUCGAGCUUAACCCAAGUUUCGAAGCUUGGCAAUGAACCUCUUUUCCUUCUCUCAAAGCAAAACGAGACCCGCAAGCUUUCAAAACCGAGGCGAUCACAUACUUAUCCGGCACAAUAAAUCGAUUAAUCAUUUGAAAAUAAAGGCUAAUCCCAUCAGAGUAGGAACCAGCCGAAACAAACCCAUCAAUGAGAGCAGUGUAGAGGAACACAUUUGGGUUAUGGACCAGUUGAAAGAUGGUGGAGGCAUAAUUAACGGAGGAUAAAGUGGAGCUAAGACGAAGAAGCUCGAAGAGGAUGAAAGGAUCUUGGUCAUGGCCCGUUCUAAUGAUUUUGGCAUGUAUUGGUAGGAUUUGGUUGGCGUCUUUGCAAUUCUUUAAGAGAGAAAUGAAUUCUUUUCUGCGUUGGGUCGAGUUGGAGAUGGAGACUUUUGGGUUCGGAUUUGAAGUUGAAGUCGACGGGUAAGUGAACUUCCCGACAACGGCUAACGUACAGUAACUCAUUGACUGCCGUUUUCUAACUUCAAAUGCUUAGAAGCAGAAGGGAUAUUUAUAGCAUAGCUUGCUCUAUCUUCUACCUAUUACUCAGCUCUCUAUUUGACCAAUAAACAUUUUUUUUUUCAUAUACAGCUAAUUUAAGUUUUACGGAGAGUCAAUUUAGUUCGUGUACUGUUACUUUAUUAAAAAAAAUUCAUGUGUAUUAUUUGCUUAAAUUUUUGCCUUCGCUUUUCAAAUAUAUGAUAAACUACCACGUUAACAUUGUUCCUGUUUUUGUCAAUAAAAAAAAUUAUUUAGUCACCACCUUUAAAAAUAUUGAUCAAACUAUUCACUCUUCUAUUAAAUAAUAAGGAAUGCUGACUGUACAUAUUAACGUAUUCUUUUCCAUUUCCACGUAAUUAAAUAACAAUAGCGAUCGAAUAAGAGAUAAUGGUUGCUUGAAUAAAAAACUUCACAGCGAAGAUGGCAAUGCAUAAACAUAGGUCUCAAGUCACCAUGGCCACUGGCCACGCAUCAACCAAAAUGGUUAAAAUGGAGUCCAUCAGUCACUUCUCAGAAGCUGUCAGAAUUGGCUAAAAUGAUAUUAUUAUAUUAGGGUCCACUACAAAAUGUAAAUCAGGCAGUUCUUUGCCCUUGGGCAAGAAAAGAAAACCCUGCCCUGCUCUUGUAAUGAUGCAUACUCUUUUUCGUACUGGUUUAACAAUCCAUGACAAAACUAACAUCAAGGUUUAGGAAAAGCUGUUUUUGGUACUAUAUAUGCUAUGACUGUAACAAAUUAGGGUUAGGGUUGAAAUCAGAUGGUUUCUUCCAAGUGGGAUUGGUUAGAAAUUGGUAGAUGAAAAAUCUAAAUAAACCAUAACUGCUCAAAACCCAUACACUUGUUCUCUAUUUGCAACUACGUAACUCGGGACUCUUAAUUUUUCUUCGAGCAUCCCUGUCCAAUACCUGUCACCAACACAAUUGAACACGAGUUUCAAAUAUGAUCAUCUAAAUAUAUAUACAUAUAUAUAUGCUUAAAAGAACUUUGAAAAUUAAGUAUAUCCAUAUCGGAUACAGACCGGUCACUCGCUAAGCCCUGGUACACAUUAACCGCUAUCAUUCCUACUCCAAAAAGGAUGACAAAGAGGUAAGUCCCAGCAAUAGGAAAUUAUCAAAUUCCACCCAGAAGAACUCCUAAACAAUUAGAAAAUGUAAAUAACACAAGUUUAACAUUAAACUUAAAUUCAUACUAAACUCAAGAUGUACAGUUAUUCCGAACAAAUUUAUUGAAUUUUUUUUCCAAAUUAAAUUCAACAAAAUCAAGAAACUACAGUAAAUUUAUUUUCUUUGCAUUUAUCUUCAAUAAAUUUAUUUCCCAAAAUGCUUGCAAUCUUUAAGUCAGACAGGACAGUUAUUCACUAAUCCAUGCUACUAAUAGAUUCUAUUGCAGUAAGGUACAAAAAAAUUUAGGGAAAACUUACCUUGUUAGGGCUUUAUUAUGGCCGGAUAAGGGCAGUGAUUAAAGAGUUUGAACCAACUGAAAAUCAAAACAGUUUAGCAACAGCAGACUUUGAAUGUAGCAGUUUCAAGCUAUGCUAGGGGAACGAGUGUUAGAAACAACUAUGUAACCAGUACAGGUAUGUUCAAUUUUUUCUAUGUUUUUUCCUUUUGCAAAUUGGAGGAUUCCCGGAGGUUCAUAUCCCUGUAUUAUGUAAGAAAUAUUAAGAGACAGAUCAACUUGAGUUGAAAGGCUACUUUAUGCUAUGAACACUAACUGAGAAUGUUGUAGCAAAUAAAGAGAAAAGGACAAGAAAGAGGGCAAUGAGCACAAAACACAUUUUACUAAGCAUACAUACCUAAAUAAAACAAAGCAAUCACAAUUAUUCAUAUGUUUAAAUAUGUUUUGUUUGAUUUAGUUAAUUUUCUUUAAAAUAUUAAUUAUAUCAUUAUAUUCGUAUUUAAAUGCAAUAUUCUUUUUGACAUCAACCUAAACCACAUCGAUUUUCCAUCUUAUUCUCUAAUUACUAUAGCUCAACAAUCUAGAGGAUUAUUGUGUACUGUUCAAGUGAAGACAGGUUUUCAGAAUAUAGAUAUCGAAAGAGUAUGUUGAGAAGGGCUACGCUAGAUGUAUCGCACUUCUUCUUCCUACUCCAAUUCCAAGAAUCACAAGGGUAGUAUUCCCUUUUAUGAUGUAAUGUCAAACUCACAUUACGCUUCCUAUUGAUGAAGCAUCAAACAUGAGCAUGACAAUCAUUAUUAAAGAAUUCGUGCAAUAGAGAUGCUACAUGUUUCUCAAUGUAUUGAUGCACUUAUGCUCAUGGUAAAGAUGGUAGUGAAUCAAGAAUUGUUGGCCAUGCAACAAUGGUGCAUUUAUGAUGGUAGUUGCUUUGUUUGCAUCACAAUUAGAUAAUUUAAUGGGGAAGAAGUGCCAGCUUUGCACCUAUGAUGCAGAAGCAUUCCAUAACUUUGGUUAAAAUAAGUUUGAAAUUUGGUUUUAGUUUUAAUAAUGUUACCAUAUACAGAUAAGAUUUAUCUUCACAUUUUUUAUCAUAAGUUGUGUGCCAAUCUUAGAAGUGUGUGACGGAAACCAUGCAAAUCAUAAACAAAGAGAAACCACCUUUCUUUGUGAUAAAUUCAAUACACUUUGGAAAUGGACUUUACAUACCUGUGCCUAGGUUAAAUAACCAACUAAACAAAAAUUUUAAAGGCAUGAACCUGAAACACUAAACCUAGUUCAUGUAGACACCCUUUAUAAGUGACAUCAUCAGGUCUAGGGUUCAAAUCUCGACAUUUGCAACUCCUCCCCUAUCUACGAUCUCCUUUGUACCAAAAAAUAAUUUUAUGGUCCGUCUUUUAUUUAAUUUUGAAUGAAAUGAAAGCAAAAAUUUUAUUUUUAUCUAUUAUUAUUGAAUGUUCAAUGCAAUGAAAGCAAAAAUAUUUCUGGAAUAAGUUACUUACCAGCGCCCUAAAUCACCUGCUAGCUAUUGCAGCAACAGAGAUAGAUACCGAGAAAUGACAGCUUUGAACAAAUCAUAUGACAACGACAGAGAGCACACUUGUAUACAUCCAUGCCCUUGCAUGAAUGGCAACAAGCGUGCUCUCUCUCAUUGUCAAUUGACAAUGCGUGUCAAUCUCAAAAUGAAAACUGCAAAACAAAACUCGGGAUAUAUUAGGAAAUGCUGCAGGGAGGUAUUAUUUACUUAUGCUCUAAAAUGAUGGCUUGCUUACUUACUUAGAAAUGCAUCUAAAACUCAUGAUUCUAACAAUCCCAAGAAAUAUAACAUAAAUGUCACAGUUAUGACAUCCAUGAACAUUUCUUAAAGUUGCCAAUAUCUUACAUUCCAUAAACAUCAUCAACAAUGACACUCCGAGCAACCAACAAGUGUUGAGAUCAAUGGCAAAGCACAAAGGAUUAGUCCCCAUGGACAGUAAAAUGGACAUUGAAGAUACCUUGGUUCCACCAAAAACCAAUAAAACUCCGAACAAAACAAUCUCCAAACCCUUAUAAAUAGUACCAAAGACACAAAGGAAUUAUCUAAAGUUUUGCAGGCAGAAAAAAAUAUUGCCUUCUAACAUGAAUGAAUUAAAGAUGGAAGUUCCUUUCAAAAGACAUUAAUCUGUACUUUGGUUAACUAAAAACAUAUAUAAAGAAUUAAAAGUUAAAACAUCAAGUAAACAGCCUAGAAUUUGUGACAAGUUACAUAGCAAACGACCAUAAAACAUAAUUUUGGGAAAGUGAAAAGAAGUUUAAUAUCAUAACACAAAGAAUGAUAAAAGAAUUUUCUUGGAAACUCUUAGUCCUUUACAAUCAUAUCUAUCUUUUUCAUUAGUAAUGCAGCUAGUUAUAAACUCACCCCAGAUUCUGGCGUCUUCCAAGACAAGCUUGAAAAGGGGGAACUUUUUCAUAUAUAUAAUCAUAUUAUAAAGGCUUGGAGUAAGCUAUAAACAAGUUUAAAGACUAAGAAGAAGUGUUUAAAAGACUUAUCAAACAUCCAAGAUUGCCAUUUUUUGAAUAUAAAAGAAAUAGGCAACAAAAAUAUUUUAUUGGAUUUCAAAACCACGGUAAAACAGCUGAAUUUGCUAAAUUAAGAAGCUUAAAGGAAAACAAACGAAAGGUAAACAAAUCAAGGGUUGCAUUAACUACUACUAUUGUUAAAACUCAAACAACAUGUAACAUAAACCAAAGUUUACUACUUUAUGUUUUUUUUCCAUAUUUCUUAACCAAGAUCCUAGCCCAAACUAAAACACUAUUAAAAUUUCUAAGCCAAAAAACAAAGUCUUGGUUUUAAUAGUUUAAAGCAAAAGGGCUUAAAAUAUGCUAAAACUUUUAAAGCAUGAACAAACCCUAGCCUUAAAAUUCACUGAAAAAUGAUAACAUAAAAGACUAAGUUCAAAAAAUAACAUUUAUGAAUAACAUCAUUGCUUGAACCUGAAAUCCUAGAUCCAGACCCAUAUCUUCUACCAGUAAAAAAGUUGUCUCUUUAAAAAGAAAAAUCAUACUAAAUUAGAAAACACACACAAAUGAAGCAGGAAGCAACUACUUGGCCACUUGCACUAGCUGCACAGUCAAAAACAACUUUUGGCGAAAUGAAGAGAGUGGAAAGUAUGGGAGAAUUUCUACAGAAAAUAAAGAAAAUCAAGUCAAAUAUUAAAGAACAAUUUAUAUAAUUCCAAAGGCAUAUUUUGAAACGAUAAUACGGAAGAUUAACCAAAUGAUCAGGGAUUUAAAUUGCGGUCGCGGUCGCGUUUUCGGUCGCGUCGCGUUUGUCGCGGUCGCGGACAUAACGGACGCUAUUGCGGUCACUGCGGGUAUCGCGGUCGUGAAUUUUACAUUACUUAUUGUGUAUUGCGGGUAUAGCGGGUUUCGGCAGUAACGAUUUCGGACGGUGCCGUUACCGCUAUAUAACGGCCUCUAUUUCGAUAACGGACCGCUAUUUAAAUCCCUGCAAAUGAUGAUUAAUAAAGAGGAUAAGAAGAGGCUUAGCGUAUAAAGGUACCGUUUCGAAAUCUGCCUCUUUGUCUGGUAAAAUCAAGAUUCGCAUUGAUUUGAUCCAACGGUGUUACUGUUUGACACGUUAAUGAAACAUAAAUACAAAAGUACGAAGCCAAAAUUAGAACCUUUACACAGUGCACUACCGUACCAGAUUCUUCCCCUCGGUGGCUUUUUACUCAAUUGACCCAAAAUAAUUAAUUAUUUAUGAAAAUGACACAAGUCAAAACUUAUGUACAAAAAUAAUCUUUCCCAAAAUAUCCGCUAGUGCCACCUAACACAUCAGUACUACCAAGUUUUAUUUUUUAAAAUACUCAUUAAAAAUACAGGGUAUUUAGGAAGGGAAAAAGAAUAAAAAAAAUGUUUUUUUAUGGAUGUUGGCAAUCUAUCAAGGGCAACAAAGAAAUUCUUUAAAAAAAAAUUUUGGGUGCUACUAGUAUGUCAAAUGAUAUCGGUAAAUAUUUUUAAAAAAUAUCUUUUGGUGCCUCUAGUAUGUCAAGCGACAUCGGUUAAAAUUUUUAAAAUAUAUAUUUUUUUAAGUGUCACCGUUAUGUCAGUCGACAUCAGUGAUAUUUAAAAAAAAUCAUUGUAAAAAGAGUAGUUCGAAGUUUUUAUCAUUGUUUUAGAAUAUUUAGGGUCGAAUACUAUGAGUUCUGAACCGUAAAAGUAAACGAAAAUGAGGAAAUCUCUUCUUUGGUGUCAAAACCGACACAAAAGGCCACUGUAAACGGCGACAUUGGUGGCUAUUGAAUACAGCGACUAUGAUUUUCAUUUGAGAAGAGGAAGGGAAAGAAAAUAAAUAAAUAAAUAAAAACAUCUGAGUACGAUAGCUAGGGUUUUCAAUUGAGAAGAAUAAAGGGAAUUUCAAAUAGAAAAAGAAAAGAGAGUAUAUGAAAAAUAGAGAAUCAAAUAUGAAGGAAAAAAAAAGAGAGUAACGUAUAUGUAAAAUAGAGAUAUGAAAGAAAUUUUAAUAUUUUAUGAAAAAUAAAAAAUCAAAUAAGGGAAAAAAAAGAAAAAAAAAUAUUAAAUUCUUUUUUAUAUCUCUAUUUUACAUGGUGGUUAUUAUUUUUCCUUUCUUUAUCUGACUUUUACUCUUUCAUCUCUCUCGUCCCUCUAUCUUUCAUCCAUUUAUAGUGAUAUUGAUAAAACAAGAACAACAUAUGAAGUAAGUAUCAGUCACGAGCUUCCUCUUUUAUUUAGUUUUCAUUUUUUUUCUAUUUUAUCCAUUAGGGCAUUGUAGAAAACAAAUAUUUUCCUACAUAAAUUUUGAUUUAAAUUAUUAUAAUUAAUUAAAUAUUUUGGACCAAUUGGAUAAAAAAAACCCAUGGAUUUAAUGGAAGUGAGCGUGGGGCUGAGAAGAUGUCAUUUCCUAGGGUUAAGGGCCAAAUUCUUUUGUUUCGCAGGGAAAUUUACAAAUACCUUCUUUUUUAAAUAAAAAAACAAUUAAAAAUAAUUUAUACAUAAGCCUAAUUUAUUAACAAACACAAAAGAAAUUUAAAUACUCAUAAAUGUUGAUUUUUUUUAAAAAUUACAUAAACAGGACAAAAUUUAAAAAAAUUACAAGAAUAAGACAAUUUUUAAAAAAUGUAUCCAAUUGGAAGCAUUUUCAAUUUAAAUAUAGAAAAACACUUCAACUAAAGCUAAAAGUACUUUUUGUCACAUCAGUAUUAAAAGUGACAAAAACAAUAUUUUUUCUUAUUUCCUAAUGCCAUCUAUUAAUUUGAAAAUAAAACUUAAAAACAGGUCUUUAUAUAGAUUCAAAGUUUCAUUUAUCUUGUUUUUUUAAACAAUGUGAGAUUUGGGAUAUAGAUAUAUAUAGGCUUAUAAUUCAUUUGCAAUUAUUCCUACACAAUGUGAGAUUGUUAACUCUUUUAACUAACAAUAAAAGAUUAAAUGUUACUAUCGAAACCAUUUUCAGUUUGAAAAAUAGGGAUCAACUUUAAAGUGAAACAUGGAGUCGCCACCAAUCCUUUUUGUUUAGGUGUGAUCGAAUCACCUGUGAAACAUUUUAUUUUAUUAAAAUACCGAUUUUGGCCUACGAUAUUCAAGGAAACGGGUUCGAGAGUCGGUUAUGUGUUAGGGAGUAUUAGCACCCUCGCAGCACAAAAAAUUGGUACCUUAUUGAUUAAUCAAUGCCCUAAUGUCGAAAAUUUGAAAAGAUUUUAAAAAUACAAUCCCUUUAAAAAUGUUUGGAUAACUCGAAGUGGAUAUUGAUGUUCUCCUAUUUCAAAGAAAUAAAAUAUCAUAUCCAGCACGUUAAGAUACAAUAUUUUAAAUCCUUGAAACCAAGAUCAUCUCAUGAUAUCCAAAACUCAUGUUUUUUUUUUUAAAUUCAAAAGAAUAUUUGGUCAUUUGGUCAAACGAAAAAUUAAAACCAACUCGUUAAGGCACGCUUUCCCUAAAUUUCAAGCACAAAAUAUUACUUUAUUCAAAAACUUUUGAAUAAAACGUAGCAAUGUUUUUAUUUAAAAUGAUGGUUUGUGUGUAACAUGCUAUGCUAAUAGAAGACGAGAAAAUGUACAUGUUUAAAAUGCAUCACAAUAAUUAUAUAAAGGACCAACCCUAAGGCUAAUAUAGAUAAUUAAAAGAAAAGAUGAUAAUAUAACAAAAUUGAUAAUACAAAUAACACAAUGAUAAUAAUAAUAAUAGUCAACAAAGGUAAGAGUGAUAGCACUGAUGAAAUCUAUUUGAAAUGAUGCAUAAAUAAAUAAAAGGUUACAGUAAGAAAAAACAUAAAAAGAAAAGAAAAGAGAAAAUAAAAUAAAGGAAUAUAUACAACAAAUAAUAUAUGAAAAUUUCCAAAUAAAUAAUAAAACAAUUUAAAAACAUAUGACAAUUGUCAAAAUGAACGAUGUACUCACAUAUAUAAUAGUAAAAACAACAUAUAUCUAAGAUAAAUAAUAAAUGAAAAACCCUAUUUAAAUAAAAAUAAUGAAUACAACAUUUUAAAAUAUUGUAAAAAAAAAAGAUUAAAUCCUAGUAAUAUAUAAAACACAUAUAAUAAAAUCACUUCAAAUAAAAACAAAAUAAUUCAAAAUAACACUACAUAAAAUAUUAAAAUAAAUAAGUAAUAAAUUAAGAACAGGGAUAAAAUCCCAAUAAACAGGACCAAAUCAAAAUAACAACAAAUUUUGAGGUAAAAAAAAAGGCACAUUAGGACCAAAUCAAAAUGCGCGCCACAAUUGAGGGAUCAAUUGGGAAAUUAUGCCCUAUUACCAAAAUGACGCCGUUCCAAUAUUCGCAUUUAAAGGGCCCGGGGACCAGAUCACAACAAAAACCAAAUUUCAGGGCCAAAUUUAAGAAACAAAACAGAUGAACAGGGUCAAAUCAAAAUAGAGCAGAAAUGCGGGAGGGCCUAUUGUGCCCUUUUUGACAAAACAAGCAGGUUCUCGUGGAUACGGAUCGGAUCGUAGGUUGGAGGGCCAUGAGGUAAAACGGCGCCGUAUGGAACACUUGGGGGGAGUGCAAAACGCACUAUUUUACCCUAUUAUAAAACUUAAAAUUUUUUAUUUUUUUUCAUUUCUUUCUUUGUCUCAAAAAAAAAAAACAAAUGGCUCUCCCUUUCUUUUUCAAACCAACUCAUAGGUCAGUCACCGACCACCGUGCGUGAUGGUUAGAGUUCCAAAAAAACCUCAUUUUCUCCUUGUUAAACUAGGAAAUAGAUUUAGGACCUACAAAUCCCGAAACCCUUGAAAACAACAAGAUUUCCGACUAUUGGCCUCUUGUGCCGUGGCUUCAACCAGAUCCCAAGGGAUCUGUUAGCCCCUGGACCGGAGAAACGAGCGCUGACGAUUUCAACGCCAAACAGUGGGUAAAAAUUUCCAUUCUUACGUAUUCACGUGGUAAAUUUAAAAUAAAAUAAAAAAGAAAAAAUAACAAAGCCGAAAAUGAACAAAUGGAUCACCUUUAAAAUGUAUUCGAUUUCUCUGUAUAAAUUGCUAUGUAUGCGUAUUCGUAUCCUUCUGCCAAAAAAAGAUCCUUUUCAAUACAUUCGGUUUAGGCUUUUAUAGCCGAAAAGAAAAACAAAAAACAACUUGCUCCUAUUUCGUUGCACUUGUUGUUGUUGCUUUCCAUUUUUUCUGCAGGUAUGGAGGCGCGAGUAGAGCAGCUACGUGGAGUGAGGCGUGUGAAGGUUGUUCGGUAGUUGAGGGUUACGGCGCAAGGGAACCCUAGGGUUCCUGAGAGAGUUUUGAUUUUGGGCCAUUUGGGCCAGGUUUGUCUUAUCUAGGUAUUGGGCCCUGUUGUAAAUGGGUAUUCGGGUUUGGGCCUAUUGUAAUUGGGUGUGGUAUUUGGGUUUUGAUUGGCUGUAAAUGGACUUUAUAUUUUGGACUGUUGUUUAUUGGGCCCCGGGUUAAAUUGGGCCCUACAGUUACACUAUAUUUUAUAUUUUUUUAUCAUGAAAAUUUUAUACAUUCGUACCGAA
Molecule: long non-coding RNA, 60618 nt
Filed under: Gossypium barbadense (sea-island cotton)
Lineage: Eukaryota; Viridiplantae; Streptophyta; Magnoliopsida; Malvales; Malvaceae
Description: long non-coding RNA (GBAR_LNC010079)
Rfam family: MIR535 microRNA precursor family (bases 54232-54325)
Source: RNAcentral